GAUCUGAUCUGAUCUGCGAAAAUGGAAAUGUCAGUCGAGGCCUGGCAAUCAAUCUGGAGGAGAUCUGGCCGAAGCAGAGGAUCAGGGGGGGAAGAGGAGGGAGACGAACGCAACGCAACGCAACUAAGCAAACGCACCUCAAGCUCAAGGAGGUGAGGGAGGGUGCUCUGCUCUGCUCUGCUGUGGUGUUGUGUGGUGAUGAGAGGAGAGUCUGCCCUGCCCCCCUUCUUAUAGCAAUAGCAUCGGCCGCCGGUGCAGGGCAGAGGAGGAGGAGGAAGAAGAUGAGAUGGGUGUCGCUGACCUGGCCUUUGCCGGGCGUGGCCGGCGUCAAUCAAAAUCUGUCUGACUAUGAAUCACGCGCCUCCACGUGGGAUCAAGAGGCCACGUCAACGCCAAGACAUGCUAGCACAGUUUUUUUUUUUUUUUUUUNNNNNNNNNNNNNNNNNNNNNNNNNNNNNNNNNNNNNNNNNNNNNNNNNNNNNNNNNNNNNNNNNNNNNNNNNNNNNNNNNNNNNNNNNNNNNNNNNNNNNNNNNNNNNNNNNNNNNNNNNNNNNNNNNNNNNNNNNNNNNNNNNNNNNNNNNNNNNNNNNNNNNNNNNNNNNNNNNNNNNNNNNNNNNNNNNNNNNNNNNNNNNNNNNNNNNNNNNNNNNNNNNNNNNNNNNNNNNNNNNNNNNNNNNNNNNNNNNNNNNNNNNNNNNNNNNNNNNNNNNNNNNNNNNNNNNNNNNNNNNNNNNNNNNNNNNNNNUUUUUUUUUUUUUUUUUUGGAAACUACGUAGGAGACUCGAUCCGAACUUGAGAAGUGACUUUGUGUGCAUGUGGGCUCGGUUUGGGUACAGUGCUCACUUUUUUUUUUACCGUAUGUACUUCCUCCGUUCCUAAAUAUANNNNNNNNNNNNNNNNNNNNNNNNNNNNNNNNNNNNNNNNNNNNNNNNNNNNNNNNNNNNNNNNNNNNNNNNNNNNNNNNNNNNNNNNNNNNNNNNNNNNAUAUAUAUAUAUAUAUCAUUGAAGAAAUAUCCCUCACAAAUUUUGCAUUAUGGAUAGUCAUGUAAGAAGAAUACCUUCAAGACGACAUGAUUUAUGAAAAUAAUUAUUUCCAUUUAACAUUCUAAAAUUUCGUUUUCAGGGGAGUUGUUAACAAAUUGAUGAACGUUUGCAUACCACAACUGAAGAGAUGUAUUAAGCGAUUCUUAUAUAACAAAGAUUCAUUACAACUUUGUAAGAUGAGUUCUUAGUAGUACAUCAUUUGCUUGUAUCAUUAUCCUUCCCAUCCAGCCACGGAAAAUGGCGGAACCGUUUGUGGUGAUAUGUUCUCAAAUAGCGAAAGGGUGAUAUCUGACAAUUGAAGGGAUGGACUUAAAUGUACUUUUGUAACAUGGAUACAUUACAAGAUGACCGCUUACAUCAUUGACUCCAAAUUAGACAUAUAUAUUCAAAUACAUAACCGCUCUUAAUAUUUCAUCAAUUAGGUAUUAACGACAAGCCGUCUCUUGUAACUAACCAUCACCCUUCCUUUAGGCCCUGCUAUGAUUUUAUCAACUUCUUCCUCUGGGAAAGGAGAAAGCAUUUUUAACUCAAAGUUCCGCAGCAGGCAACUCCAUAUCACUUUAAUUUUCAUGUAAGCAUAUUCCUCCCCAAUGCAAGCAUGCCUGCCACCACCAAACGAUGUGAAUGCGAACUUACCACCAAUUUUGUCCUCCUCUCUCCCUGGACCAAAACGGUAUGGAUCAUAUACAUGAGGAUCUUUAUAAAUAUGUGGCAAUUGAUUGCCAGCAGCUAUAGAGGUCGCCACGGUAUGUCCUUCCGGAAUCUCAUAUUUGUAGCCUUCUCUAGUUUGUACAGCAAACUUCUUCUUCACACUGCGGAACAUCAUUACCGCUGGAGAGUGCAUUCUUAUUGCCUCUUUGAUGCAGCAAUGUAAGGUCCCCAUCUCUGACAAGAUGUUGUAAUCUAUGUGUUGUCCGUGUUGUCUAAUGAUUUUCUGUUGCUCUUCUAUAGCAGCUGCUAAGUACUUCUCAUGGCUGAUCAGACAAGCUCCCGUCCAUGAUGCGGCGCUCGAGCUCGUGUGUUGCCCAGCAAACAACAUGCCAAUGAGUAGCCCAGUGAUCUCACUCUCAGACAUGGAGCGGCCAUUCUCCAUGCAUUUUGAGUCUAUAAAUUUUUGUAGCACAUCAUCCUCGACUUGCCCUGAGAUUCUACGUGAUCUCACUAUCUCAUGGAAUAUUUCUCCCAGCUUGGCGCGUGCUUUAUCACGCCGACGGUUGGCUGGAAUUGGGAUAUUUGGGAAGAAAAGGGUGGUCAACUGCGUGCCAUUUUCGAAGAGAUCAUGGAAAAGCUUGGUGACUUCUUGGAACAUUUUAUCACGGACCUCUUUUCCAAGCAAGCAUCUGCUUGCAAUCAACAUGACUACCUCCCCAAGCUCAUGCUUUAAAUCAAUUAUGCCAUCUUGUCCCCAUUUUCCGAAGUAGUCCUACAAAAUGGGGGACCGUCAUCUGAAAUGAGCCAAUCAUUCGCUGACACAGGAAAUUAUAUUGUGUAACUUAGUUAAACCUAAUCUCGUGUCUACUUAAAACAAGUUGAUAUAUUCAUUAAAAGUUCAAGUAAAGAAGCCGUCACAAAGUACUUCUUUAGGGAAAAUAAGGUGAUUGUGCUGCUCUCUUCCAAGGUGGAUUCUUAAACACAGAAUUCUGCUGGCAUGGCAUACUGAAGUAUACAGUAAUAAAAAAACACGCUUGGUUGAACCAUAGAAAAAUUGCAGAAACUUUCCCAUUACAACCUGCAUGUCAUAGUUUCAGGAAAAGAAAAGAAAACAAUCCAUGAAGUUGGGUGCAUUAGAAAGUUUGAUUUGGUUUGCAUGCAAAUUUGAUCAUCAGAAUAGUACAUCUAAUCAUACAAACAAAACAAGCUCUAUAGAUAUUUUUUUUUCAAAAAUAUUAUAAUCCUUCAAAAUUCCGAUGGAAUUCCUUGGAACCGAAGAGGCCCUAAAAGGUGACAUACUUGUCGUCCCAACCAGAACCAGCCCAAGAGGCUACUUGCUCACAUAUCCACCAUCCAUUAAUCCAAACUUGAAAAAAUUGUGCCCCCUAUAAAAAUUCUUAUACUAUUUAAUGUCCGUGCAAGAUGCACUGUGCCCAUUUUGUGGACCUGCGUGUGUUCACCUUGAGACUUUGAUAUAUUCAAAGAAGAUACUACCUCCGUAAAUAGUGAUCUAAAACGUUUUAUAUUAGCUUACAUAGGGAGUAGUACGUAGAACUGUGGAUUUAGUGUUUAAUGUAUGUUAGUUGUGAACAGAUAAAUUUGUGCAAGAAAUAUGUUCAUUCCUAUGUUGCACGAAAACAAGAUCUUAGAGUCCAGAAUCACUAUGCUAUGCAAUAUAAACAUUAUAUACCCAGAAAGUACACAUAAGUGGUAUAAUAAAAAUAAAGUAAAUACAAUAACAAAAAUAGUAACAAUAAAAAUAGAAUAGUAACAACACCACCACCAAGAACAACAAUGAUAAUAACAAUAAUUGAUCGGUUGCUUACCUGUACUUCUCGAACCAUAUAAUCAACUUUGCUUCUCAAUAGUGGUGUCCUCAUUGCAUCUAUACCGAACCGCAUUUGUCUGUUUCUGGUUGCAAAGUCUGCAUCAAGACUAACGCCUUUGCCGAAAAUAGGGAUAGUGAAUUUAUACAUAUCUGGUUGGCAUAUUUCGGAGUGUGUGCCUUGAAAGAAAUGAGAUGUGACCUCUGGUCCAAGCAAUAAAGUCACAUUCUUCAGGCCAAAUAAAUUUAUUGUGAACACACUGCCCAGCUUUGUAUGCAGGUCAUGGAUUACUGGUUGUAGGCCCUUGGUCAGAAUCAUGGGCAAAGAUGAUACAAGAGAAGUGCCACUCACAACAGGUGGCUGGAGUGGUCCCUUUUUCUGUGUUGGAGCAAUAAUUCUUCUUACAAUAAUUUUUGUGAUAAUCAUGGUGAGGAAAAAUGCUGAUAUAGUGUAACAGACGGCAGUGGGAUUUGGUAGACCCAUUUCGGUACAAAUGGGCGUAACGUUGUGGAGCAAACAAGCCUGACCAAGAAAACAAUGAUAAAAGCUAAGACAAACUGAAGGUCAUAUAUAUUACUAAAAAGAACAUAAUACUAGUUGAAAAACAUGUAAGUAAAAAAUCAUCAAUUGCUAUACGACACAUGGUUAAUGAACUUGUGACAAAAUAUAAUGUACNNNNNNNNNNNNNNNNNNNNNNNNNNNNNNNNNNNNNNNNNNNNNNNNNNNNNNNNNNNNNNNNNNNNNNNNNNNNNNNNNNNNNNNNNNNNNNNNNNNNCGCUGUCCAGUGAUCCACUCCUGGAUUACUCUGGAACCUACCUGCCAUACUUAUGGCCAGGCUAACAUCCGGUCUAGUGCACAACAUCGCAUACAUGAUAGAACCUAUGGCUGAAGAAUAGGGGACGGAGCGCAUAUGCUCUCUAUCUUCAUCAGUUGCUGGGCACUGAGUCUUACUCAAUCUUGUACCUUGUAAAACUGGCAAGAACCCUUUCUUGGACUGUUCCAUUUUGAACCUCUUCAAAACUUUAUCAAGGUAUGUGCUUUGUGAAAGUCCUAUNNNNNNNNNNNNNNNNNNNNNNNNNNNNNNNNNNNNNNNNNNNNNNNNNNNNNNNNNNNNNNNNNNNNNNNNNNNNNNNNNNNNNNNNNNNNNNNNNNNNNNNNNNNNNNNNNNNNNNNNNNNNNNNNNNNNNNNNNNNNNNNNNNNNNNNNNNNNNNNNNNNNNNNNNNNNNNNNNNNNNNNNNNNNNNNNNNNNNNNNNNNNNNNNNNNNNNNNNNNNNNNNNNNNNNNNNNNNNNNNNNNNNNNNNNNNNNNNNNNNNNNNNNNNNNNNNNNNNNNNNNNNNNNNNNNNNNNNNNNNNNNNNNNCAUAGAGAAACUUUUAUUCAAGUAACCUUUUAUGCUCUCCAAAAGCUCUACGUUGUUUCCAAUCAGUAAUAUGUCAUCCACAUAUAAUUUUAGAAACGCCACAGAGCUCCCACUCACUUUCUUGUAAAUACAAGAUUCUCCAACCACUUGUAUAAACCCAAAUGCUUUGAUCACCUCAUCAAAGCGUUUGUUCCAACUCCGAGAUGCUUGCACCAGUCCAUAAAUGGAUCGCUGGAGCUUGCACACUUUGUCAGCAUUUUUAGGANNNNNNNNNNNNNNNNNNNNNNNNNNNNNNNNNNNNNNNNNNNNNNNNNNNNNNNNNNNNNNNNNNNNNNNNNNNNNNNNNNNNNNNNNNNNNNNNNNNNNNNNNNNNNNNNNNNNNNNNNNNNNNNNNNNNNNNNNNNNNNNNNNNNNNNNNNNNNNNNNNNNNNNNNNNNNNNNNNNNNNNNNNNNNNNNNNNNNNNNNNNNNNNNNNNNNNNNNNNNNNNNNNNNNNNNNNNNNNNNNNNNNNNNNNNNNNNNNNNNNNNNNNNNNNNNNNNNNNNNNNNNNNNNNNNNNNNNNNNNNNNNNNNNNNNNNNNNNNNNNNNNNNNNNNNNNNNNNNNNNNNNNNNNNNNNNNNNNNNNNNNNNNNNNNNNNNNNNNNNNNNNNNNUUGCUAACAUGAUUCUGACGGACUUAAGCAUCGCUACGGGUGAGAAGGUCUCAUCAUAGUCAACUCCUGGAACUUGUGAAAAACCCUUUGCCACAAGUCGAGCUUUAUAAACGGUCACAUUACCGUCAGCGUCCGUCUUCUUCUUAAAGAUCCAUUUGUUCUGAAUAGCCUUGCGGCCNNNNNNNNNNNNNNNNNNNNNNNNNNNNNNNNNNNNNNNNNNNNNNNNNNNNNNNNNNNNNNNNNNNNNNNNNNNNNNNNNNNNNNNNNNNNNNNNNNNNCACCUCCGCGUUCAGCACACGUACAGCUCGACGAUGAUCUCGGCCUUCUUGAUCCAGCAAGAGAGACGGAGAGGUAGAAGAGUUCUCCGGCAGCGUGACGGCGCUCCGGAGGUUGGUGAUGAUCUUGUCUCAGCAGGGCUCCGCCCGAGCUCCGCAGAAACGCGAUCUAGAGGAAAAACUAUGGAGGUAUGUGGUCGGGCAGCCGUGAGAAAGUCGUCUCAAAUCUGCCCUAAAAGCUCCAUAUAUAUAGGAGGAGGGAGGGGGACCUUGCCUUGGGGUCCAAGGGACCCUCAAGGGGUCGGCCGAGCCAAGGGGGGGAGGACUCCCCCCCCNNNNNNNNNNNNNNNNNNNNNNNNNNNNNNNNNNNNNNNNNNNNNNNNNNNNNNNNNNNNNNNNNNNNNNNNNNNNNNNNNNNNNNNNNNNNNNNNNNNNNNNNNNNNNNNNNNNNNNNNNNNNNNNNNNNNNNNNNNNNNNNNNNNNNNNNNNNNNNNNNNNNNNNNNNNNNNNNNNNNNNNNNNNNNNNNNNNNNNNNNNNNNNNNNNNNNNNNNNNNNNNNNNNNNNNNNNNNNNNNNNNNNNNNNNNNNNNNNNNNNNNNNNNNNNNNNNNNNNNNNNNNNNNNNNNNNNNNNNNNNNNNNNNNNNNNNNNNNNNNNNNNNNNNNNUUUUCCUUUGAUUUUUAUUUCUAGGCGCAUAGGCCCACUUGGGGCUGUCCCACCAGCCCACUAAGGGCUGGUGUGUCUCCCCAAAGCCUAUGGGCUUCCCCGGGGUGGGUUGCCCCCCCCCGGUGAACUCCCGGAACCCAUUCGUCAUUCCCGGUACAUUCCCGGUAACUCCGAAAACCUUCCGGUAAUCAAAUGAGGUCAUCCUAUAUAUCAAUCUUCGUUUCCGGACCAUUCCGGAAACCCUCGUGACGUCCGUGAUCUCAUCCGGGACUCCGAACAACAUUCGGUAACCAACCAUAUAACUCAAAUACGCAUAAAACAACGUCGANNNNNNNNNNNNNNNNNNNNNNNNNNNNNNNNNNNNNNNNNNNNNNNNNNNNNNNNNNNNNNNNNNNNNNNNNNNNNNNNNNNNNNNNNNNNNNNNNNNNCACCAGCCCUUAGUGGGCUGGUGGGACAUCCCAAGAAGGCCCUAUGCGCCAUAGGAAGAAAAUCAAAGAGAAAAAAAAGAGAGGAGGUGGGAAAAGGGGGAAGGACUCCUCCUUCCAAACCUAGUUGGAUUCGGUUUGGAAGGGGAGGACUCCCCCCCUUGGCUCGGCCGAACCCCUUGGGGGUCCUUGGACCCCAAGGCAAGGCGCCCCCUCUUCCCCCUAUAUAUACGGAGGUUUUAGGGCUGAUUUGAGACAACUUUGCCACGGCAGCCCGACCACAUAUCUCCACGGUUUUUCCUCUAAAUCGCGUUUCUGCGGAGCUCGGGCGGAGCCCUGCCGAGAUAAGAUCACCACCAACCUCCGGAGCGCCGUCACGCUGCCGGAGAACUCAUCUACCUCUCCGUCUCUCUCGCUGAAUCAAGAAGGCCGAGAUCAUCGUCGAGCUGUACGUGUGCUGAACGCGGAGGUGCCGUCCGUUCGGCACUAGAUCGUGGGACGGAUCGCGGGGCGGAUCGAGGGACGUGAGGACGUUCCACUACAUCAACCGCGUUCUCUAACGCUUCUGCUGUACGAUCUACAAGGGUACGUAGAUCACUCAUCCCCUCUCGUAGAUGGACAUCACCAUGAUAGGUCUUUGUGCGCGUAGGAAAAUUUUUGUUUCCCAUGCGACGUUCCCCUACAGUUGCGCGAUCUAGGACCAUACAUAUAUACCUUAUUUUUGUGAAAUCCAUGCGUACUUACCAUCGAACUACUUUUUGUAGUGAAUAUAUAAGCAAUUUUGUGAUGUACAUACACCUAUAAAUUCAUGAACAUUAUAAUUACAUGAUGGUUUAUUUUAAAAAUGUUCGAACUAUUUGUGUGAUAGUCAUGAACGUUAAUAUUGAACUGAUAAGUACGAUCUUAAUUUGUGUUCCAUUCGAUGUAUGUGAAAGUGAUACAUAUGUGCUUUCUUAAAUAAAGUUAAUUUAUAGGUCGGCCUCGCUAGUAUCGAACGGCCCACCGAGAUGAUGCGUGAGUGUAAUUGCAAGUGCACGCCAUCAAUAUGAUGAGUCAAAAUCAAAAUUGAAUCAAAAUUAAAAUAAUAGAGCCGGUAGGCUGCUUCCAAUGCAAAGGUGCUAAGAUAUGAUCCUAGCCGUUUUCAUCUCUCAUCUCCCCACCCAAAAAAUCUCUCAUCUCUACACUUAAUCUAGCCGUUUUCUCACCGUAGUUCUAUUGUAUAGCCAAACCAUCCGUCUCACUCGCGGUGGGGUAGUUCUUGGUGAUGUUUUUCAACCUUUUUGGGUGGUGGUGGUGGAUCCAUCCUUUCGGCGGUGGAGGAGGCGCGGUGCCCCCGACUACCCGUGUUCUUCUUCCGAACGGCUCGACUUGUCGAUGCCCAUCCGGAUCGAGAGGAACGGCUCGACUUGCCGAUGCCCAUCCGGAUCGAGAGGAACGACGCGGUCAGAGUGGCGGCGCUGCUUUUCCGAUGAGGCCCGAGGCCCUUCCGGUGAUUUUCUUUGACAUGUCCUUUAGAGUUCUAGGUGGAGGGGACCUUUCUUUCUCUGUGAUUUCUGUUUACCGAAAAUAAUCUAGAUCCUAGCGUGUCUGAUACCAUUGAUAGUACCUCUAGGAUCGCUAGGCUAGAUUAGACCGAUGGGUUUACCUUCUCCUUGGUGCGAUGAGGUGCCGCCGGUGGCCAUGGUUGAGGGGCAACGACGGUGAGUGGCAGAGAGACGACGAGGUGGCCGAGCUUCCCGUGAGCACCGUGCUAACCCUAGAUCGGAAAGGUUUGUCGGUAGGAUGUGUGGCGGUGACGAAUCUCGUAGUCUGUGCCCCAGCCCCCACCUCUGUUAAUAUAGCACGGGUCACAGGGGUCCAUCAAUCAUAGUGGGUUGGGCGCCCCCGAUCAGGGGUCCGAUGGUCCGUUUGGCCCACACGGAAAGAGAUCAAUCUAACACACAGCACUGAGAAACUCAGCACCACACCUCAACCAUUUAUUGAUGUAUGUUGAAUACUUCUUCACUAGAGCAUAGAUUCAGUUGCCACAAAAUAAAACGAUUCAGAAGAGAUUUGCAAAAAAUGUGGGGGGGGGGGGGGGGNNNNNNNNNNUAAAUCGUAUUACAUAAGGUAGUUGGGGAAAGAAUGCCCUGUUUAUCUGGCUGCUACUACUGCCUUAAUGCAAGGCUUUGGGGGAUCAAUAUCAUAUACUAGUAGUAUAUAUGUGUAUGUAUGCAGGUAGGUAACAUAAAACAAGAAUGUAUGUAUGCUUAUGACUGAUGAGGUAGAUAACGCUCUUGACACGAAUAACUUUUCGUCAACAUCGUCCAGCAAGCGGCAUGGCGUCGCCGGAUCUAUUAUCUACCUUCUCAGGCCCUCGCAAAUGUAGGUGGCAUAGAGAUCCCUGAANNNNNNNNNNNNNNNNNNNNNNNNNNNNNNNNNNNNNNNNNNNNNNNNNNNNNNNNNNNNNNNNNNNNNNNNNNNNNNNNNNNNNNNNNNNNNNNNNNNNCACACGGCCAUGAGGACGAAGGUCCUACCAGAGCAACGCGCGAUUGUUGUUGCAGAGGAGCUUGCGGGAUUUCUGAGGACGGAAGUUAUAGAGCUCAAAGGACAAUUUAAGCUAAGGGCCAUUACUGAUGUUCGUCCAUGUAAUCGAAUAGACGGGCUCUAGUCCCGAUAAUUCAGAUCUCCAUAUAAUUGUAUAUAUACGCUCGCUUGUAAGAUAAGUUAAUCUUAUAUAUAUAUGCAUAAUUAUUUCUAUUUAAAUUAUAUGAAAACUAAUUCCCGAACACCAAACGAGGCAUCACGUUAAUCUCCCGAACACCUAAACCCUAAAACCCUAAAACCCAAAAAUAAUUUCAUUCAAAAAAAAACUCAAAAAUAAGCAAAAUCUGAAACUCUUUAGUCCUGAUCCGUGUAACGAACCGGGACUAAAGGGCCUGCCCCUAGGGCGCUACGAGGCGGCCACGUGGAGCACCUUUAGUCCCGACUUGGAACAGGGCCGGGACUAAAGGUUAAGCCUUUAGUUCCGCCCCUUUAGUCCCGGUUGGUGAACCGGGACUAAAGCCCUUACGGGCCGGGGCUAAAGGCCCCGUCCCCACUAGUGGGUACCAGAGGAUUUGCUUCACUUGGGUACACAACAAGUUCCUCCUGUCACCGUAAUUGUUAAUCCUUAGUUCGAGCGCAUGGCUCACGCUUGCCAGCAGCACAUUAUUUCAGUCCGGGUCAACUUUGGAUCAGUUAGGGCAUUUGCAACGCGGAUCAUGGCAAUGUAUCCGUCGGUGCCUCCACCAUCAACUACGUCUUCCUAGAUCCACUCUUUCCAUGCCCUUUUCGUUAACAAAUACUUUAAGCCAACCGAAAUGGAACAUGGCAACUUGUACGCAAAUCAUCAUUUCAAAAUUUGAACCUGUUGAGAAGUUGUAUUAACUAUGCCAUGCACAUACCACGCCAUUCUUGUUAACAAAUAUUUCAAGUCAGCCGCACAAAAGAUGAGUUGGAUUAUCACGUAUGUGACAGGUAAGCUAUGUGCUAAUUUCGACGCUACUAUUUACGGGUAUAUAAGAUAGCUGAUUGCUCAGCCAAAUCUUCUCAUCCACUGGAGUACCAAACAGAAUCAUCAACAAACUCUCAUAACUAGAGAGCAAGCGUACGGUCUCUCUCUCUCCCUCCCUCCCUCCCUCCCUCUCCUCCCNNNNNNNNNNNNNNNNNNNNNNNNNNNNNNNNNNNNNNNNNNNNNNNNNNNNNNNNNNNNNNNNNNNNNNNNNNNNNNNNNNNNNNNNNNNNNNNNNNNNUUAUCGUGCAGGCGAGGAGGGGCUUUAGUCCCGGGUGGAGCCACGACCCGGGACUAAAGCCCCUCGCCUGCCGCCUGCAGAGGAGGGGCUUUAGUCCCGGUGCGUGGCUCCAACCGGGACUAAAGGCCCCUGCUUCCCGCCUUCUAAUCUGCCCGAAAAAGGGCCUUUAGUCCCGGGUCGUGGCCCCAACCGGGACUAAAGGGGGUCUUUAGUCCCGGCUGGAGCNNNNNNNNNNNNNNNNNNNNNNNNNNNNNNNNNNNNNNNNNNNNNNNNNNNNNNNNNNNNNNNNNNNNNNNNNNNNNNNNNNNNNNNNNNNNNNNNNNNNNNNNNNNNNNNNNNNNNNNNNNNNNNNNNNNNNNNNNNNNNNNNNNNNUUAGAAAAAUUCCAACCCAAAUCAUCCAUUUAUCUUCUUCUUCCUCUCGUUCUCCUGCCCCGCGCGGCACACCGACGACCUCGACGACGUCGUUAGGCUGCCGCCGUCCUCCUCGCCGCCGCCUGCCGUCGCCGUCAUCCUCCUCGCCGCGCGCCGCCCUCCUCGCCGCGCGCCGCCGUCCUCCUCCCCGCACGCCGUCGACACCUCCGGCCGGUAAGCCCCCCGCCCCCUCCUCCCCAACACUCCGGCCAGUAAAAGAAAAGAAGAAAAAGAAGAAGAAAGGAAGAAAAAGGAGAAGAAAAGAAGAAAAAGGAGAAGAAAAGAAGAAAAAGGGAAGAAAGGAAGAAAAAGGAGAAGAAAGGAAGAAAAAAGAGAAGAAAAGAAGAAAAAGGAGAAGAAAGGAAGAAAAAGGAGAAGAAAAGAAGAAAAGAAGAAAAAGGGAAGAAAAGAAGAAAAAGAAAAAGAUUUUUUUGUCAUUUAAUUCCUAUUGUUAUUAGGUUUGUGCUAGAUUAUUAGGGUUAGUAAUAUUUAGAAUUAGGUUAGGGUUACAAGAAGAAGAAAUAUGAACAAAAAUAAGAAAAUAAGAUUAGGAAAAGGAAAAUAAGAAGAGGAGGAGAAGAAAAGAAGAAAAAGGAGAAUAAGAAGAGGAGGAGAGGAGAAGAAGAGGAAAAAUAGAAGAAGAGGAGAAGUAGAAGAAGAGAAAAAAUUAGAAGAGGAGGAGAGGAGAAGUAGAAGAAGAGAAGAGGAGAAGUAGUAGAAGAAGAGGAGAAGUAGAAGUAGAAGAAGAAGUAGAAGAAGAGGAGAAAUAGAAGAAGAGGAAAAAAUAGUUUAGGGUUACAAGAAGAAGAAAUAUAUUUUUUUGUCAUUUAAUUUUUCUAUUGUAUAGUGUAUAUGCUUAAGGGUUAAUAGUGUUUCUUAGAUUAUUGCUUAAUUUUGCUAUUGUAUUUGCUUAAGUGUUAAUAGUUUAAUUUUGCUAUUGUAUAUGCUUAAGUGUUAAUAGUUUAUUUUUAGCAAGAAAAUUAAUACAAAUAGUUUAUUUUUUUAGUUCAUUUUAUGAUGCCUAUCCCGCAUCCUCGUCAUCGACUCGGCGGAGGACACCUACUUGAUCAGAGGGGCCCUGUCCGGGACUGGGCUCCGCCCGGCUGGUAUUGGGAGGUGCUACCUUUCGGGGGGCGUAGGUUGGUGAGGAGCCAGUCCGUCGUUGACCCGAUCCUUGUUUGGUGGUGGUCGCGUGGGCCAGUGAGGGUGCCGAGGCUUCUGGACACCGCGGAGGUGGUACGUCACCGUGUCAGCGAGGAGGAUGAGCACGUCCGUCGCUACAUGGUUGCGUUGGAGGGCAGGUUCGAGCAUACCUGGCAGGUUCUUCGGAGAUCUCACUGGAGCUAUGAUCCUGUGAUGGUUCCUUCUCUUUGGGUGUCCACCGCCCGCGCCGAAACCCGUCGGGCGCUACGGUUCUAGAUGUAUCAGUGAUGCUAUAUGUAUGAUAGUAUUCGAGGAGUAUUAGUGAUAAUAUUCGACGAUGUACGGACAAAAGAGAUGAUGUAUUUGCUUAUAAUUGAAUGCAUGCUAAUUUGAAUACUACUUUAUUUUACGAUUUGGUUUUGCUUAUUGAAUGCUCAAAUUGGAAAAGUACUCCUACUUUGAAUACUAUGCAGAAAUCUAGUUUAUUAGUUAAUCAAAUGUCCGUUUUUUGCAGAACUAUGGAUCCACAUAUCAGGAACCUCGAAGAGGAAGAACUUCUCGAAGAUAUAAUCAAAGACGGCCCCGACGUUGAACCAGCUGAAUCUCCGUCGUCAUAUCUAAACCCCUCCGGAUAUGGAAUGGAGGUCGACCGACACGAAGAUGAAGCCGAUGGGGCAGGAGACAGGUUCAAUGAUGGAGAAGGUGAUAGCUCCACUGAUGGAGAAGCCGGUGAAGAAAUAAUAAAGUCCGGCGAGGUAUACAUAUGAAGUUCGACAAUCACUUGUAAUAUGUGAAAAAUAUUGGAGAUAGCUCUAUAUUGUAUACAUAUACAUUCCUUUGACGAAUGUUUCUCCCUCUUAGGCCUCCACAUCGAGCAAAGCUACGAAACGAGGCCCGACUAGAAAGUUGGAUGCACGGACGCAUUACACCUUUGAGGUGAUAUUGCCUACGGGCGAACCCAAGCUGCUGACACAUUCAAGAAGCAAUGCGGAGUUCUCGUUAGGGAUCACGCCCCGAUCAGCGUUCGGGAGUGGAACAAGCGCAAAGGGGCAGCCGAUAGUGACUAUGUCACCGAAAGGUACAAAGAUAAUCUUUGGAAUGAUCUCAUGUCACAUUUCAACCUGCCAGAAUGUGAGAAUGAAGACGCCGCAGAAAAACUGAGGGCCAAAGUCAAGCAGUGGACUCUAAAGAAGAUGGUCGAACUGUUCCGUAGCUGGAAGAAGAAGCUAUGGAAAAACUAUCUGAAGACAAAGAAAGUGCCAGUAUUCGAGGGGUAUCUAGCCAAGCAGGCGAAUCACUGGAAGGCAUUUCAAGAGUACAAGGAGUCAGAAGAUGCCCAGGCAUUAUCAGAAAAGAACAAGAUAAAUGCCGACAAGAAAAAUAUCACCACAAGCUGGGGCCAGGGGGCUAUGAGACUGCCAUCCCAAAGUGGGAUAAGAAAGAGCAAGAUCUGCUAGCUAAAGGCAUCGUACCUGAACCACUCCGUGAUGAGUGGGAAUUGAGAGCAAGAAAUUGGUUCCUUGCGCAUGGUGGUUCGUACGACGAAGAAACAGGGGACCUCAUCUGCAGUGACGGUCUUAGGAUAUCCAGGGAGAAUUGGAAAAGGAUAGUGAAAGAGAUUAAGGAGGGAAAAGAAAGUUCACUACAGAUAGAGAGAAAGAUUUGCUCACACUAGUCCUCGGCAAUGACGAACAUGGAGGACGAACGCGAGGCUUCGGUCCUUCUUACCCGUGGUGGCUUGGGUUUGCCAGAGACCAAGACACUUACAGAAGCCGAGAGAGAGCAAAGAAGCGGCAGCAGGAUGAGGAGAAUGACAAGUUCAACCAGUUGCUUGCCAGGAUUAACGAGCAACAGAAGCAGAUUGAUGAGCUNNNNNNNNNNNNNNNNNNNNNNNNNNNNNNNNNNNNNNNNNNNNNNNNNNNNNNNNNNNNNNNNNNNNNNNNNNNNNNNNNNNNNNNNNNNNNNNNNNNNACAAGGUACAAGAUUGAGUAAGACUCAGUGCCCAGCAACUGAUGAAGAUAGAGAGCAUAUGCGCUCCGUCCCCUAUUCUUCAGCCAUAGGUUCUAUCAUGUAUGCGAUGUUGUGCACUAGACCGGAUGUUAGCCUGGCCAUAAGUAUGGCAGGGNNNNNNNNNNNNNNNNNNNNNNNNNNNNNNNNNNNNNNNNNNNNNNNNNNNNNNNNNNNNNNNNNNNNNNNNNNNNNNNNNNNNNNNNNNNNNNNNNNNNNNNNNNNNNNNNNNNNNNNNNNNNNNNNNNNNNNNNNNNGUCAAGAAUAUCCUGAAGUACCUGAAAAGGACUAAGGAGAUGUUUCUCGUGUAUGCAGGUGACGAAGAGCUCGCCGUAAAAGGUUACGUCGAUGCAAGCUUUGACACAGAUCCGGACGACUCUAAGUCGCAAACCGGAUACGUAUUUAUUCUUAAUGGGGGUGCCGUAAGCUGGUGCAGUUCCAAGCAAAGCGCGUAGCAGAUUCUACAUGUGAAGCAGAGUACAUGGCUGCCUCGGAGGCGGCUAAGGAGGGUGUCUGGAUGAAGCAGUUCAUGACGGAUCUUGGAGUAGUGCCAAGUGCACUGGAUCCAAUAACCCUGUUCUGUGACAACACUGGUGCCAUUGCCUUAGCAAAGGAACCAAGGUUUCACAAGAAGACCAGACACAUCAAACGACGCUUCAACCUCAUCCGCGACUACGCCGAGGAGGAGGACGUAAAUAUAUGCAAAGUGCACACGGAUCUGAAUGUAGCAGACCCGUUGACUAAACCUCUUCCACGGCCAAAACAUCAUCGACACCAGAACUGUAUGGGUGUUAGAUUUAUUACAAUGUAAUUCACAUGGUGAUGUGAGGGCUAGAUUAUUGACUCUAGUGCAAGUGGGAGACUGUUGGAAUUAUGCCCUAGAGGCAAUAAUAAAUGUAUAGUUAUUAUUAUAAUUCCUGUAUCAAGAUAAUAGUUUAUUAUCCAUGCUAUAAUUGUAUUGAAUGAAGACUCAUUUACAUGUGUGGAUACAUAGACGAAACACCAUCCCUAGCAUGCCUCUAGUUGGCUAGCCAGUUGAUCGAUGAUAGUCAGUGUCUUCUGAUUAUGAACAAGGUGUUGUUGCUUGAUAACUGGAUCACGUCAUUGGGAGAAUCACGUGAUGGACUAGACCCAAACUAAUAGACGUAGCAUGUUGAUCGUGUCAUUUUGUUGCUACUGUUUUCUGCGUGUCAAGUAUUUGUUCCUAUGACCAUGAGAUCAUAUAACUCACUGACACCGGAGGAAUGCUUUGUGUGUAUCAAACGUCGCAACGCAACUGGGUGACUAUAAAGAUGCUCUACAGGUAUCUCCGAAGGUGUUCGUUGAGUUAGUAUGGAUCAAGAUUGGUAUUUGUCACUCCGUAUGACGGAGAGGUAUCUCGGGGCCCACUCGGUAAUACAACAUCACACACAAGCCUUGCAAGCAAUGUGACUUAGUGUAAGUUGCGGGAUCUUGUAUUACGGAACGAGUAAAGAGACUUGCCGGUAAACGAGAUUGAAAUAGGUAUGCGGAUACUGACGAUCGAAUCUCGGGCAAGUAACAUACCGAAGGACAAAGGGAAUGACAUACGGGAUUAUACGAAUCCUUGGCACUGAGGUUCAAACGGUAAGAUCUUCGUAGAAUAUGUAGGAUCCAAUAUGGGCAUCCAGGUCCCGCUAUUGGAUAUUGACUAAGGAGUCUCUCGGGUCAUGUCUACAUAGUUCUCGAACCCGCAGGGUCUGCACACUUAAGGUUCGACGUUGUUUUAUGCGUANNNNNNNNNNAUCCUUGGCACUGAGGUUCAAACGAUAAGAUCUUCGUAGAAUAUGUGGGAUUCAAUAUGGGCAUCCAGGUCCCGCUAUUGGAUAUUGACCGAGGAGUCACUCGGGUCAUGUCUGCAUAGUUCUUGAACCCGCAGGGUCUGCACACUUAAGGUUCGACGUUGUUUUAUGCGUAUUUGAGUUAUAUGGUUGGUUCCCGGAUGUUGUUCGGAGUCCCGGAGGAGAUCACGGACGUCACGAGGGUUUCCGGAAUGGUCCGGAAACGAAGAUUGAUAUAUAGGAUGACCUCAUUUGAUUACCGGAAGGUUUUCGGAGUUACCGGGAAUGUACCGGGAAUGACGAAUGGGUUCCGGGAGUUCACCGGGGGGGGGCAACCCACCCCGGGGAAGCCCAUAGGCUUUGGGGAGACACACCAGCCCUUAGUGGGCUGGUGGGACAGCCCCAAGUGGGCCUAUGCGCCUAGAAAUAAAAAUCAAAGGAAAAAAAAAAAGAGGGAGGAAGUGGGAAGGGAGGGGGACUCCUCCCACCAAACCAAGUCCAACUCGGUUUGGGGGGGGAGUCCUCCCCCCCUUGGCUCGGCCGACCCCUUGAGGGUCCCUUGGACCCCAAGGCAAGGUCCCCCUCCCUCCUCCUAUAUAUAUGGAGCUUUUAGGGCAGAUUUGAGACGACUUUCUCACGCCUGCCCGACCACAUACCUCCAUAGUUUUUCCUCUAGAUCGCGUUUCUGCGGAGCUCGGGCGGAGCCCUGCUGAGACAAGAUCAUCACCAACCUCCGGAGCGCCGUCACGCUGCCGGAGAACUCUUCUACCUCUUCGUCUCUCUUGCUGGAUCAAGAAGGCCGAGAUCAUCGUCGAGCUGUACGUGUGCUGAACGCGGNNNNNNNNNNNNNNNNNNNNNNNNNNNNNNNNNNNNNNNNNNNNNNNNNNNNNNNNNNNNNNNNNNNNNNNNNNNNNNNNNNNNNNNNNNNNNNNNNNNNAGGAUCGCAGCCGACGACCUCCUCUCCUAUCCCCACAAUACCGGCGACCUCUUCUCCUCCAGCACCACCGUCGACAUCCCGCCUCCACUCUGCAACCCGCCGCAGUCGCCCCCCCACCUUCUCCUUCUCCUUGUCUUCCUAGGAGGAAGGGCCCAGAUCCAACCCCAAAUUUCCCUCUGCAGCUCCCAAAUCUUCAUCGAACAUCGACCAUGUCGGCCUACUCACCGGUCGCGGGAGGACCUGCAGGGGGCUACCCAGGCGUUGUUCGACAGGUUCGGGGCCCCGGAAUGCAUGCCGCCGCCGCCGCGCAGCUGCUGUUCGGGCAGGUGAGCCAAGAACCACCGCCACGCCCAGCUUUGGCUUUGUUCCGUGCUUCAUCAAUCGCACUAACAGAACUCUGCUUUCUUUCCCCCCGUGUAUCCAAGGCCGGCUCAAUGCCACCUCCAGCGGCGCAGGGCAGGGCGACGGCGGCCGUGCCGCCGCGGUAGCGGCAGCGGGCGAGGAGGGGCCAGGCCACCGACCCGCACAGCAUCGUCGAGCGUGUAAGCGACCCUCGCCGCCACCUUUCCCUUCCCUUCUCCCCCCAAUCAUUAUGCUCAUGUCCUCCUGCAUCCUGCACUGUUCUUGACUUCCUGCUCCUGCUCCUCGCGGUUACCUUCUUCCCUUUGCUGCGUGGUGGCCGGCGGCCGAAGCCUGAAUCCCCGUCGCGGUAGGUGCCGAUUUGUUUGUCUGCUGCGUGGUGUACUGGUUGGUAGGUGCCCUUGCUAAUCUAGUCCAUUCACCCGUACCUGGUCUGCCUACCUUAGCCGCUUCUUCUUCUUCAGCGUGCCAGACCGAUCUAAGAUGGCCCUGUAGCGCGGCCCCAUCUUAUUUUGUGUGAAUUCGUCUAGAUUUGUUCUACCAACGGGAGUUGGAGUGUUAGAGUUCAGAGCAAGAGGAAAUAGCUCAAAAUGUUAUGCUCUCAUAGUCUCGUCGGAAGCCGUAGUGUUCCUGACUGAGUACCCUUCUUGGAUUGACUUAUGUAUGCUAAUAUCUGGAAUUCAGACACCUGCUGCUUCUGUAUGUUAAUAUAUUUGGAAUUUUAGACACCUGCUCGUCACUGCUUUUCUCUUUGCCACGAAGAAUACUUGCAAUUGCUCACAACAUCUGUCCCUACCGACUAGACUGAUAUGCGUGUUUAUGCAGAAGAAAUUACAUUGUGGAUAUAAUUUUCUCUCCGAUGCAGCAAGAUGACCCCAUUCCUAAAAUUUGCCUUGUUUUCCCAUUCCACGGAGGACACUAAAAGAAAGUUAGAUGGGGAAAGCUGAUAUAAUUUUAAAAAUACAACUAAUGUACAAGUUAGUUAGUCCUGACACUAAAUUCAGGUUUAUUGUUUGUCUUAGAAGCACCUCAUGUGUUUGUGUAGUUGUACAGUCUAGUGUUGUCAGCUCUUUACUUAUGUCUUACCGUUUUAAAAUUCAAUUUUAAAAAUACAACUACUGUAAACUACUGUACAACAUGCAGCAUCCAGUGGCUCUGAUGACUAUUUUUGCAUCUCACCGUCUUAGCGUUGUGUCAUGUGUGUCUAAUUCAUGGAUUCAGCUUACGGCCUCUUAUUCAUGUUGACUUUUUUCUCAUCCCUCCAUUUGCGUUUCUUAUGCAUAUACCUAGAUUUUUCAUAUUUUUUUGCAAGUACGUACUUGUAGUCAUGACACUAAGCGUUUUUGGUCUGUAAACUAAGCAUACUCAGCAUAUCAAUUAACCCAGCAAGUAAGCAAAUUUUUACGUACGAAUGAAAACUGAGAACUUUUUAGUUUGAAUACUAGGUAUUUUUUCAUCAUGGCAACUAAGAACUCUUUAAUCUGGAAAGUAAGUAUUUUUCUAGCAUGGCAACUAAAAACUUUUUAAUCUGGAAACUAGGUAUUUUUGGCAACUAAGAACUCUUUAAUCUGGAAACAAGCUACUUUCUACAUGGCUUAUAAUCUGCAAGUGGGGAAUUGCAGGUGGGGAAUGAACUAGAGUCAGACUUAUAAUCUGCUCUGUUGUGUUUAGCAGGACGGGCAUGUCGGGUUCCUGCUCUCCUGCUACGACGCACACCUCCGAUACGACCGGCGAACCGACACCUUCACCGCCAGGUACCACUCACCACUCAUCACUCCACCUCACCUGCCCGAGAUCGAUGUCCGUAAUUGACUGGUUCAUAAGCUGUUUCGAUCAAUCAGUGAUCGAUCGAGAUAUGUACAUACAAUGGUUUAAUGCAUGAAGGCGAUCAGAGCGUGGGAUAUUUUCGUCUUGCUUUCAAUGUGUUGAUUGAUGGUGUGUUGUGAACUGUGAUAGGUACCCGCCCCACGGCCGGAAGCCGGCCAAGGAGGAGGAGGGCGUGCAAUAUUAUUCUUGAGCUUCAAUAUCUAUUGCACGGACUGAUAUUUCGAAUGUGUCAAGGUAAGCGGCUGUUAAUCAACCAUGUAAUUUUUCAACUGAACCGAAGCUUUAGCUAGUUCAUUUUUGGAUGCAACUCUAUAUUAGUGAAUACCUUCAAUAACAAUAGAAAUUCAUUCAAACCAUUAGUUGAUUGCUUCGUUGGGAAUUUCCAGUGAAAAAUAUAAACUUCACACAAACUUUAUAUUGCUAAUAAUGCGUAAGUUGAAACAUGCCCAAUAAGAAAGAACGUAUAUUAUGCCCUAUUCAAGUAGGCGCCUGAAAAUCUAAAACCAAUUAACAUCUUGAUAUAAAUUCAUCACCCUAAAAGAGAGACCAAACAUUUGACUAUUUAAGGCAUGUUUCACGAAUGCAAGUACUAGAAACAUAGACUUUCUGUCUCUAAUAAAAAAAAGAGCAAUACCAUGACUUAUUGACAUAUAUCUUUCUUUCUUUCUAAACGCUCUUAUUUUGAUAUAAAUUCAUCACCCUAAAAGAGAAUCCAUAGGAGCGUGCAUUGCUCUCGCUGUGGCGGCACGGAACCGAGACGUCGAUUUGGUCCUCCUCCUAGUCAACCCAGAUAUUGCUUUCAUCAACCAUGGUUUCUGCAUUGCUCUGUUCUUUCUUUUGGUGACAGUAACUUCUUACUAACCAAUCUGUAUUUUGGCAUCUUCAGGGACAUCUUUCCACAGGUCACAGAUGCAGCCUCUCUCAGCAUUCCUGGAUUUGGUCCCUGAUCCAUUCCAUUUAAGCACCCGAGAGUUUCUAAAUUUCCUCACAGGUUUGGCACCAUCUCCGUGAACAGCGAGCUGAAUUUUAAUAUGAUAUCUUCCCGCCUUGUACUAGUUUCAAGUGAGAAGAAUAACGACCAUAUACAGAGUGUCAAAUCAGUGAUCUGUUCAAAAAAGAACCAAAUCAUCAGUGAAUGAAAAUACAACAUAGGCAUGGUUUAAUUUUGUAUGCAAUUAGUACUCAUAUUGUUUUCACCUUGAAUGUUAGGCGAUGACGAAAACGAUGGUGUCUUGCGUCCAAAGCAUGUUCGGUGUGUUCGACAAAUCUGUCCAGGAGGUAACAGCAGAUAUCAUAUCACACACAUCCUUUGGAAGUAGCUACAAGUUAGGAAUGGAAGCCUUCUAUGCCCAGAAAGAGCUCCAGGCAAUCGCCAUAUCCAGUUUACUCAAUAUGCAGAUAUCGUCAUGGACAAGCCCGGCGGCGAGGGCGCCCCCAAGCACCAGAUGAUCGACUGCUACAUCCACACCCUCGCCAAGGUCCUCGGAAGGUACCCAUCCAUCCAGUCUCGAUCCCGUUGAAUUCGCUACAGGCUUGUAUUAUCAGAGCUAACCUGUCCUGUUUCUCCUUCCCAUAGGGUGUGUCUGAAUACAUCUUUUGGUUGUGCUGCAGGGGUUCCUGGUAAUCUCUUUGUGCUCCCGGAUUCCUAUAUUGACCCUUAACACAAGGACUAUGGAGGUAUUUCUCGACAUGUUAUACAUAUCCCGCAACCAUGUUAAAAUCUUGGGGUUGGCGAUGAUUUAGUAGUAGAAAUGGAAUCUCGGGCAAAUGUUGGGGACGGUUUGAUGAUUAGGAACUUUAUGAUAAUUACUCGAGUUCCUGUGGUGCGUUAUCCGAUUUAGAGCCAGACAAGGAUCUUGUUGUGAUUAUUCGAUAUUGUUCAAGAUUUAGGUGUCCAGGCUUGUGCUAAUUGAGUCUUGUACUGUACUACUCUAUUUGGUAUGUGAUGGCAUAUUUUGCACUUUUGCUGCAAGUGAAAAAAUUGUAGGUUCCAACUUUGUUUCGUCAAAGACUAAUAUUACUCCAGUAGAACACUCGUGAACCAUUGUACUAGUUCGAGUCCCAUAGUUGUCAGUAUAAAAAGAUGUUUUAAAGUUUCAAACUGUUAAAAUCUUGGGGUGCUUGGGGAUGAUUUAGUAGUAGAUACGGAAUCCCGGGCAAAUGGCGGGGACAAUUUGCUGUGUUGAACAACCAUCUCUUGAGCGCAUUGGAACAAGAGUAAACUGUUCAACUAAAACUGCUGACAAAACAUUACUGUAAAAUCAGCAGUAAAUAUGCUGCGGUGAUUUGGGCCAAGCCCUUUGGCUGAGUAGAAAAAGUUAAAAGACCAUCAAAUCAAAUGCUUGUUCAGUAUGUUGCAUCCAGUGUUGGCCACUGAAAUAGUGCAAACUUGAGCAAACAGAUUUGCUUCACAGAACUGUGCCAGUGACAUACUGAUAUGUUUGAAUAUUGCAAAAUAGGUAGUAAUAUUGUAGGUCGUGUAUAACAACCCAUGAGAUUCUACCAGCCCAAACAAAAUCAAAGGAAAGAAGCCAAGUAUUCUAUUUACUACCAAUCAGUGUAGUUCGUAGAAAGAGAUGUCACUCUUGGUCCACAGAAAACAGUAGUAUUAUUUUUUGAAAUAUAGCUACAGAACAAGGGAGGAAGGCAACAACUAUGAAAUCCCACUACAGAUAAAAAGAAUAUCAUGUAUUGGGAAAACAUGAUUAGACUGAAACAAGCCACAAUACUCUACAGUUCGCGGAUUGUGCAAUAUUAAUAUUAGGCCACAAGACACAAUACUCUACAGCUCAUUGGCCCAUGAACACGUGACAAGGAGGGGUGUGUGAUGUGUACAGGGCCCUCACUCACAAGGAGCCCUUCACCAAAACCAUAGUGUCAAAUUACCACUGCAUCUAAAAUAACUUGUUGUGCAUAGUGUCAAAAUAUUCAUGUGAUCUCAAACCUAUUUUGAUUUGAACUUGGCAUAUGUUUAUGUCCAGUUUCUGUUAAUUAUCUUGAAUGGUGUGGUACCGUGCCUAUGCGCGCACAACUUCCUCUCACAAAAAAAAAACUAAGUGCAUGUCUCUCUCAUUUUUGUUUGCAUUUCUUUUAACAUCAUCAUCAGGAUGAACACAAAUCUUUUUUAUUUCUAAUAUUUUUUAUAUUUAUUUCCUUUUGAUUGAUUCAUGUGCAGUGUAAUGUUCUUGUAGGAUGACAAAUUGUUGCAUCUCGAGCAUGUCUCAUAGGAGAGUGGAAUGAAGUCCAUUGUACUGUUGGGAUAGUAGCAGAUGUGUCAUUGUUCUAUUGUGCAAUUCUAUCCACUCUUGCUAUAUUCAUGUGUAAGGAAAUGUAUUCAUGAGAUGAGUUAUUGUAUUAUGUAAACCUGGGAGAUGUAUUAUGUGAUGUUAUAUGAUGGAUGAUUUUAAUUUAAUUUGAAGUUUUCUUGAUUUGAAUAUAAAAUAAUGUUGGAUUUAAUAUUGGACAAAUAAUUGAGUUGAAAAAGAACAAAUAGAAAUGAAACCAAGUUCUGAAACAAAAAGUUGCUGAAUUCAAAAAUGAAAAAAUGCCAAAACUAAAACUGUAUCAAAUGUAUGUAUCAAAUGUAUUUGAGCACUAAAAGGCCAGGGCCCAAACUAUAAUGAUAAAAAAAUUCAAUUUUUUCACUAAUUAUAAUGAUAAAAGAAAUUCGAAAAAAAUACUAAAGUGGCUGUAAAUAGGCUAAGGCCCAAAAAGAAGCCCAAUAAGAAAAAGCCCAAAAAAAUAAAACCAGCCCAUGUGAUCAAUUGAAAUGGGCUGGGCUGAUUUCAACUACGAUGUUUUGAUUUCAUCGUAAUUUUGACACGUAGGACUGCCACGUAGGACUGGGUUUGAUUGCCAACGACGAUUUAGGAUCGUCGUAAAGGUUACGACGAUCUAGAAAUCGUCGUAAAAGUUACGACGAUUUUGAUCAAAACAUCGCUGCUGUUCAUUUGUGACGCUCCGUUUUCGACGCUUGGUUUUUCGUCGUGAGAUCAUCGUAAAUUAAAAACCGUGACGAUGUAGCGACGAAAAAAUAGCGUCGUGUAUUAGCAUAUUCCUUGUAGUGCUCUCUCGUUGCUGGUCUCUCCAUAGGAAGAUCUGAAUAUAAAUCUGAGAAUGGUUUCAUACUUGAACCAUACCUGAACCAUAUCCAUACAUUUAUCUCUCAAAACCAUACUUAAACCAUACCCAUUUGAUGUCAUUUUCAGCCCAACCAAUAAUAAAUCCAUUAUUUUUUCCACCCAAACCAACUUAAACCCAAUACAUAACCGUGGGUUUAAAACCAAUACAUAACUAUGGGUUUUCUUUAAUAUACAUAUAAUUGCACAAAUUGACAAGUUAAGAAGCAACUGAGAUAGAAAAGGCAUAAGUGCAUCUACAACAGUUUGAGAACAAAGUUAGCCUUGAGAUACAGUCAGCACACAGCAAAAAGAAAAAAAAUGCCGACGUAUGAAUAACUCACUAACAAGUGUAUUAAAACAAAAUUACUUAGCUAAAGGACAAGCAAACACUUCCGUUUUUCAUGUGGUAUUUCUCCAUAAUACAUAAUUACAUAGUGCAUUACAACAUGUAUGCGGAUCAAAGAUAUUCGUUCUCGGUUAUCGUUGGUUAUUGCACAUAACCAAUGCCUAGAAACCGGGUUGGACCCAUAGUUUAUAACCGUUUAUAACCAAACUGUUUAAGCCCAUAACCAACUAUACCCAAACUGAUUUCUCCACAUACCCAAACCAAAACCAAACUAAAAAAUGUUCAACCCAAUAAAACCUAAACCAAUCAAACCCAAAGUAAUAACUGAACCGUUACACCCGGUUUUCGAAUAACCAUUUCCAGGUUUAUCUGAAUAUGCGUAGGAUUUUUUUUGAAUUUAUGCUACGUUUCCCAACAAAUGCAAGCCCGGUCUCGGAUGGGUUCGGCCCUCCAUUUUUCAGGAUUAACUGGGAUCUUGUCAAGCACGAUUUGCUUGCUCUGAUGAAUGAUUCUCACAUCGGCUCUGUCGACCUUCGUAGGAUUAAUAAAGCUUUCAUUGUGUUACUCCCUAAACGAGUUAGAGCCUCGUCUCCGGAGAAUUCCAGACCGAUUUCUCUUCGAAACUGCCUCAUUAAGAUCAGCUCCAAAUGUCUGGCAUCCCGGGCACAACCUUUCAUACCCUUAAUCAUCCAUCAUGACCAAUCUGGCUUCAUUAAAGGCAGAAGUAUCGCUGACAAUUUUAUUUACACUGCUGAUAUAGUUGAAACUUGUUUCAAGCGUAAAAAAUCAACGAUCGUUCUAAAACUAGAUUUUCACAAAGCCUUUGAUUCUGUUUCUUAGGACGCGCUGGCGGCUAUUUUAAAAGCUAAAGGUUUCCCUUCGAAAUGGUGCGACUGGAUUCAAAAUCUAAAUGAGAUCAGUCAGUCGGCUGUGCUUCUUAACGGUAAACCGGGACCCUGGAUUGCUUGCAAAAAGGGCCUACGGCAGGGAGACCCAAUCUCCCCCCUCCUAUUCAUUAGUGUCGCUGAUGUGCUCGAGCGUUUGAUUCACCAGGCUUCCUCCAACGGCCUUCUGUCUCACCCCAUUGACUCGGCCAUUCCAUGCCCGGUGCUUCCAUACGUCGAUGACACCCUAAUUAUUCUGCAAGCAGACCUGGAACAACUUCAUACGCUUAAAUCAAUCCUGCUUCAAUUCUCAAAUGCCACGGGCUUGGUGAUGAACUUCCACAAGAGCACCUUCGCUCCUAUUCAUGUCGAACCGGCCCUCGCAUCUGCACUUGCAUCAAUUCUAGGGUGCACAGUUGCUUCCUUCCCUCAAUCCUACCUAGGCCUGCCUUUGUCUACCCACAAACUAAACAUCAAAGACUUUUUCUUCAUCAUCGACAAGAUUGACCGUCGUUUGGCAGGCUGGCGAGGUGUCCUUCUUAACAUUGUCGGACGCGCAAUCCUGGUUAGAGCUGUUCUGUGAGCCCUUCCUAUAUAUGCCAUGACCGCCCUUUUUGCUGCCUGCGGGCAUUGUUCAGGAAAUCGAUAAACGUUGCCGGGAUUUUUUCCGGGCAGGACAGGAAAUAGUCUCGGGUGGUCAAUGUAAAGUGGCUUGGGAAUUUGUCUGUGCUCCAUUCUCGUGAGGGGUUCUAGGUUUUUCUUCUCCGCAUCACUUAAACUCUUGUUUACUCCUCACUUGAAUAAAAUACACUCCGACAUCCAAAAUGCGAACUCCUCUCCAUUGACGGCAAAAUAUGGUUGGUCGGUCUCUCGGGACGUGGACACUUCUCACCCUUUUCAAUCCUUUGUUUGGCGAGACAUUGCCAAGGGGAUCGAAUUCUUUCGGUCCGUAACUAUGGUGCAGAUCGGAAAUGGGUUGACUACUGCCUUCCGGCUUGACCUAUGGGUACCCAACAAUACUCAGAAUCUUGCAACUAUCUUCCCUGCCAUCUUCUCUCACUCCCUCAGGCCUUCGGCAUCCGUUGCCCGAGUGCUUAGUGAACCCCAACUGCAACUUGACUUGGCUCCGAAACUAUCUAACGCUGCAGACAUUGAACUGGAUAAUCUUCGUACCUUGCUGGCAUCUGUCUCCUUGAAUGUGCAGGAUCAGGACAAACGACGAGGACGUAUCGACGGCAAGCCUCUAACUUGCAACUCUGCAUAUAAGGCGGUUUGGGCCAACAAACCUCUGGACCCCUUCGCGCCAGUAAUCUGGAGGAACUAUGCACCCAAUAAAUGCAGAAUUUUCCUAUGGCUUUCAUGCAAGAAUCGAGUCUUCACCAACGAAAGACACUUCAAAAGGGGGAUAACAGACUCUUCCUCCUGUCCUUUCUGCUCGGCUUCGGAAUCUGCAGAACACCUAUUCCUUCUUUGCAACCAUCUGGGACCACUGUGGCAGGAGCUCUCUGCUAUCUCUGCCUCCCCUCCAUCGGACUUUACGCAGCUUUGGGGAUCGCAACCUGCUAACAAGACUCGUUCCACAAUAAUCACUGCGAUUCUUUGGAAUAUUUGGAAAAGAAGAAACGCAAUGGUUUUCAGGGGGGGAGCUACAACCUAUCCACCUGGUUGCCAGAAUGGCUGCAGACGACAUAAUGCUAUGGUCGAACAGAUGCUCCAAGGAGCACCCAACGCUUCUUCUGCGGGAUUGGUGUACAAUGUUGUUUCACCUCUCUGAGAGAUUGUAAUUUUUUGCUUUUUUCCAUUUUUUUCCUUUCCUUCUUUCCUCCUUCCUCCUGGCAUUCUCCUUGCCACCCCGAUCCCUCUUCCCGCUCUUUUGUAACUAUCCGUUUUUUCAAUAUUAUUUGGUUCAGGCCGGCGUAAGCCCGCCGUAGCACCGUCAAAAAAAAGAAAAGGCAGAGAGGCACCCACACGUACACAACAACCUCUACCCAACCGAUUUUCUCCUCCCAAUACUUGGUACACAACAACUUCUACCCAACCGAUUUUCUCCUCCGAAUACUUGGUUGAAAUCCUCGUCUGAUGCACUGAUUUCCUUGAUUGUAAACGAUGCAAUGAUUAUGAUUGAAUAAAGGAGGAUUUGAUUGUCAAAAACAAAAUAAUUCUUACCCAACCGCCAUGAGUACACAAUAAUGGGCCUGAUAGAUAAAACAUCCUCUCAAAAAUGAGAGAGUAAAACAACCUCUUAGACACAUGCAUGUGGGCCCCACAAUACAACCGCAACCCCUAUUCAUCGGGAGGCUCCCUUCAAGAUAGCUUAGACCAACUCUAGCACACCCCGUAUAACUCGCGAACACGUAAAAUAACCAUUAUUUUACAAUUUCGGGCCAAAAAAGUGUCCCAAACACGCGAUGGACCCUUGAAAAUGUUUAAGGGGCGUGGUAAAAGUGCCAUGUAUCUCAUGAAAGCGGUUGACAGAGGGGACAUUUCAUCCAGUGCUGGUUCCUUUCCCCAUCCCACAGCGCCGCCGCCUGCCCGACGCCUGUGAUUUCGUCCACGCCCGACGCCUGAAUCAUGCCGCCGGAAUCACGCCACCGGACCGCUCCUAAGCCCGUUCCACUGUGCCGAUUCGCCGCCCCACCGAAUUGGCCGAGCCGAGCCGCCCCAGGUGCACACCGGACCGGAUCGACCCCCACCGAGCCGCCAACAGCUCCACCUUGGAUUCAAAAGUUUGCGGCCACCCCUGGCCACCACCGGUGGGUCCUUUCGUGCCCUUGUCUAGUUCGAAGUAGCCGUGGAUUUGGCGAAGAAAAUCCUUUCAUGCGAGCUGGGGAGCGCCAUUUUGUAGAUGCAUUUGAGCCAUUGCGAGGAGUUUUUUCUCGAGGAUUCCUCGUCGACAUAGAGUCGCUGGCAUUUUCAUUCAUUUCAUUUAAUUCAUGUGUGAGAUUUUCGUUAUUGUUGUAUUCAUAACAGUUUUUGUAUUGAAUUAUUACUUUAUUUUGAAGAUUUGCAUAUUUAUUAUAAUCCGAAUGAUUGUUGUAUUAUGAUUUGGAUAUUUGAUCUUAUGUUUUGUAAUCAAAUUUUAAAAAUACCAUGUAUUUCUAUGGGCUGGUGAUGGCCGCGGCAGAACAACACCCCACAUUGUAAAACUGUAAAACAAAAUAUUCCUCGGUGCGGGUGAUGUUCUGCCGUGGCCUUUGUUAGUCUGUAAAAAGCGAUUUUCACGAACUGUAAACGCGUGAUAUGAAUCUGCCAUAUACGGGCCUGCUAGAUUUGCUCUUAAGUGUUUUCAAGGAAUAUAUGUGUGUAUGUGCUUACUUUUGUCGCCUAUGCAUACCCAUAGAGCUGGUGGUGUGUCCUCCGUGCAUGUUUACCGGUAGGGCAAGCAAGCACCAAAUGAAAGAUUGUUUGGACUAGACUGGACUGGACUCGACUAAGCACCAAAUGAAUGGUUACUUGGACUGGACUGGACUGGCCGGAGGAGCUGCCGGUGGCGUACAUGGGUUCAUGAUCGAGAGGUUGGAGGUGGAGAUGGAUGGAUAUCAUAUCCAUGUCGCCAUUGUCGUAGAUCAGCCACCAGCUGCUUACAUCAUCUCUAGCAAAACCCAUAUAAUGCUCUGAUCCAUAAAAUAAUCGUUGAAAUAUGGAUGGAUACAGUAAAUGUUGUCCGAUCAAACCCCGUAAACGCGUCUGACCCGUAAUUUUUUUUACGGAGCGUGGCAAAUGUUCGCCCUCAACCUUCAGAUUCACAGGGUGGGAGGCCGACCCAAGCUCUCCCCUAUCCACAACGAGAUUUGGUGUGAGAGAAAUUUCCACGCGUCCGUUCCCCGCUCCCCCCUCCUCGGCAGCCAUUGCCCCGCCACCGCACGCUCCGGAUCAUCUUCCCCGUCAUUCGUCGCCGCCAUGGAAUCCUCUCAACUAUCCCACGUCAACAUGGAGGUCACGCACGCGCAAUCCCCUCCGGCGGAUCUCGUCGCCGGCCAUGUCGCCCCCACCAUCGCCUAAGGCACCAACGCGUUUGCCUGCAAGCAACAGGGCAACGUUGUCGUGCACGGCGACAAUCCGGCUGGCCCCGUUGGAAAGGCACGCGCGUCGGGCGCCAUUGCUGUUGCUGAGAAUAAAGCCAUGUCCAACCUUCUUGCCGAAAAGAAUAGGAUCAUGACUUUGUACCGUAAUGACAUGAACGACAUCAACAAAGAAUGACAUGAUAUGACAAGGAGAGACAUCUUGAAGAGGUGGAUGCUAGCGUGUUACAGUGGUGGCGAUGUUUUCUCAUUGGGAAUCAGAACCAAUAUCGCCGAUCAUUCCGGUGCCGGAGUUGGAACACGUGUCGGCGAUGGAUUCGGGGGCGACGAUGACCUCCAUGAUGCAUAGUGAAGAGCGACCAAGAUACAUGAAGUCCUUUUGCUUUUGUCUUUUAAAACUAUGCUUCAAUUUUGCGUGCGGACUAUGUUUUAUUGUUUGAAUUUGAACUCAUUUGUUGAGAUCACUGUCAAAUUCGCUUAUUCUGGGUUUUCGGUUUGCGGAUCAACGCGACGACGUUUGAACGGACCCCGCAUAGCCGACUUUGUUCGCGCCCGUGCUGUCUCGUAAAACCGUUUUCCCACAAACUGUAAACGAGUUUUGCGAAUCGGCUUUAUACAGGUAUGCUACAGAUGCUCUUAAUUAGUUAGCUUGGCCAUAACAGCCAGCUUAGGCAGAUGAUGGUUCGAUUCCAUCUCCCGACCGAUCGAUCCAGUGGAACAGCAAACGCACUGUGACUGCCCAACAAACAGACUAGUUUGGCACAAGAGCACUUCUAUGCCGAUCGUACCAGCAAAGUAAUCCCCAUGUGUUAAUUAUAUAUAUAAUUAUAACUAAUAUAAUGAUAUUCACUCCGUAUUUUGCAUGAAACGCUGCUGUUCAAAGAGAGGUCUCUAGCAGUUCAUUUUUUUUUCAGUUUUAGUUAGACGUCGAUGAAAGUCACUGACUGGAUUUUUUUUGAAACAAAAAGUCACUGAUUGGAUUUCACUAGACACAGAAAUAAUCAUGUAUCUUCCGGUCAAAAUGUUUCAGCAGUCUCAGUAGCACACAAUAAUUCAAAUAAACUUCAAUACAUUCUUUGUUUCUUUUCAAAUUAAUGGUUUGGUCUCAACUGAAUGAAUGUUCAGGUCCUUUGGCCGAACGGAGCUCGCCGAAUGUCACUGGUAGUCUAGCUAACAAGCAGAGAGAUAUGUCAAAUAUAUUUAACAAAACAAACCAUCAGCAAUAUGUAUGGAUUAUUUUUGUUUUGUUUUGAUUAAGAAGUGUUUUGAAAUGUUUUUUUACGUUGGGGGUUGGGGCGUGAUGGUGACGGUCGAGGCCUUCUCGUGCCUGUCAUUGUGGCAAUGAGCCGAGUCUUUCAAGCUUUUAGGCCCUGUUUGUACAUCGUUUCUCUUUUAAAUAGCCUUCUCGUGCUUGCUUUUAGGCCUUGUAAACAUUACAUGCCUAGGCCGUUGUUUCACUUCCGGUUUAAAUUUACACCACGGCCAGUAAGUUAUACACAUCGGUAUUAAAAUACAUCCAUUCCAUACACGACUUGAGUGUUGUCUUGCCCUCUUAGGAUCAUCAAUAUUUUGACCCGUCGGUAUGUCCGACUUAAAGUGUACUUGGACCUUUCUAACCCUGCAUACAUCCAUUUGGGUUGUCACAUGAUAAGAUGCACCGUUGUCCGAUCAAAGGCCAUAGUGAUCAGGCCCUGGUUCGUGAGAAGCUUUUUUUAAGUAAAUGAUGCAAAUUUAUUGAUAAAUAGGACAUAGUACAUUAGAUCAAACAAAAACAAAAUCAACAAGAUUAACCAUAAUUAGUUACAUCAAAAUCCUCUAUGCUCAUUGACUUUAGAUCCAUCUUUUGCAUCUCGACUUCUCUCCAUACAUCAGCGAAGAAUGAACAGAAGACAAGCUAGACUAACCAAGAGAAUGCGGGUCAAAAGAACCAAAUCACAUGUAUACUAAUGUGGACAAGCAAGAGCUCAAGUUGUUUUCACCUUUGUAUAGGAGAAAUCAGCAAAUGCGCGGCCACGGAUAAGGAAAGAAAGUAAAACAGAGUUAAAAGGUUACACAAAAGGAUGAUAUCAAUAUUAUAUUAAUAGUGAACGAUUAAAAGUGAUUAUAGUCGCCAUUGCAUAAAAAAAAUAGGAAACAUGAAAUGGCAGGGUCUAUACUGUUCAAGAACACUAGCAAGAAGAUAAUUAAUCACCCAAGUAAACCCCAAAGGGUAGUUUUGAUAAACAGGAAAUGCAUACUUAAAAAGGUCUAGAAAUGUUGAGAAAAUUGCAUAAGGCUUCCAGAAGAUUUUUGAUUAUUGGAGCAUCUCCAACAGGCGCCCAAAAAACUACUCCGCUUGCUAAAAGAUUCGUUUUUUGGCGCUGGACACCUCCAACAGACGCUGCAAAACAGUGCGCGUCCUAAUUUUUUUUGGGCACGCGCUUAAAAAUACUAUUGCGCGCAGCAUAUUUGGUGCGCCGGCUUGCACGCGCAACAAACUCUGAGCUGCUUCAUGUGGGGCCGCUGGAUCGGGCUGGACUGGGCGCCACACUAGCACGCAUCUGUUGAAGAUGCUCCGGUCCCCGCGCUUUAAAAAUGCUACAGUGACGCGCUAAAAAAUUUAUUGAGUGCGGAUUUUUUGCUCUGCGGUUGGAGAUGCUCUUAGACAUUAUAAAGAUGUUUGAGAAAAGAAUCUAGAAGAAACUAAGAACGACCAUGAAAUAUUUAGGAGAAAAACCAUAAGUUUAGAGAAUUUCUAGAGUUGGAUGUUCUAAGUCUUGGAUGUAGAAUAUUUAUAGACUAGAAAUAUUGAGAUAUGAUCAGUUUAUAGAAUUCCAGAGUAAGUUUGUUUAUCAAAGAGAUUCCAGAGUUGGAUAUUUCAUAUCCUGGUCUAUAAUCUUCGUGGAUUAGAAUUUUAAAAAUAUCUAUGCAACAUUACUUUAAAGAAUAUAAAUAAAAUAUGUUACAUAUUGAAUGGUUUGGAUGGUUGCCACUUUUUGUUAAUACAGUUGUAACCCCGCCAAUCUAACUAUGCAAAAUCAUACUAUACCUAUUGAAUAUUUUUUAUUCUGUGCAUUUAACAUGUUUCUAAAUGUACACAUAAUUUUAUUAAUUCCCACUUGCAUAGAAGUGUUGAUCUAAUGUUGUGAUCCAUGCAAGGUUCUAUUUUUUAAAUAUUAUUAAUAAUAGUUUUUACUAUUAUUUGGUACUGGAUUAAAAAUAUUUUACAACAUUGUGAACAAUUAUUCCUAUCAGGUUUGGCUUAGAAUAAAUAUUUAUUGGGUAUAUAAAUAUUACAAUUUAUUUGGACAAAAUAAAUAAAAUAACAUAAUAUGAUGUGCAUUUUUAUAUUUUUCAAUAUUUUUUUAACAUCAACAGAUAAAUAAUAUUGUAUGAACUAUUAAAUACAAAGACAGAGAAAGACGCAUACAAAUGUAUCAUAUUAACUUAAAUACAACCAAUGCUAAUUAUCUAUACUUCUUUUUCACGUGUUAACAAUUAUAAUGCCAAGAAAAAAAAUUGAAUUUGUUUGGAAAGAUAUUAAAUAAUAUUCUUAGACCAAAAAUAAAAAUAUAUCAUAUAGAAUUGAUCUAAUUGUUAAUAAUGAAAUUUGAAAAAAAAUCAAAACAAAAUUUAUAUUUGAUAUGAUAACACGUAUUUAGUACCCACUUAGUUAAAUAUUACAUUAUCUAUAUUUAUUUAAUUUUUCAAAUGUCUGAGCCAUACGUCAUAUUAUUCAGACAAAAUGUCUAGGUUGGGUUUUCUCUUUAUUUAUGCUGUUGAGCCAAACCAAUCGAUUCAUUCACAAUCAGACGCUAUGCACUGUACAAGAUGAUAAAGAGAGGAUGAUUAAGGUUGUUGGAAGUACAAAGCGGAGACACAAUAGCCAAUAUGCUUUCAUAAAAGAAAAUAGAAACAUGGUUAAAGAACACCAUAAUGGAAUUGAUAAACACAUAUCAAUAGAUUUUCUACAAAAAUUAUACAUGGAUGAUCAUAAUCCUGGUCACUAGAUCAUUUUUAGGAUGAUCAUGUGUAUGUACUCUCUUUGGCCAGAUUCAGUCUGUCCAGCCUCAACAUUAUGUUUGCAGUUUUUCCACUGCAUAAAAGCACACUUGAGAGAGAUAACUACGUAGCGAGCAAAUAAAUCAUCGCCAAAAAUAUUUUCUAGCGGAAUCACCAAAUUAUACUUACAUAUUCCCUCUGUAAAAAAAAUAUAUUUCUGUAGAUCGCUAUAUUUCUUUACGAAGGAAGUAGUAUUUUUUUAGACAUACACACACUUGUAAUGUGAGAACCAUAGACAGUUGAACAGGCCGGGGCCGGAACACCUUUUGAAGUUAACGUGGGAAGCCCAGUCCAGGAUUGCGCCUCGCCAUUGAAAGCCCAUUGUGAAUAACUAGGGCCUCUCAAAGCUGGUUAGGCCGACCGGAGGCGAGAGAGGGUCAGCCAUGGCGGCGGUGGAUCUGUCGAAGCUGGUGAAGGAGAAGCGGUUCUGGGCGGCCUCCUUCCUCAUCGCGUGGGCGGCGGCGCUACAGGUUCCGUGUCACCUCAUCCCCCCUUCCCCUUUGCUCCAGUCCAGAAAUGAACCAAAAAAAGUCGGGAUCUUUAACCGCGGCAGGGGAAAUGGUACUGUUUGCAGGGGCACAUGAUGUGGUUGAAGCGGCAAGACGCCUUCAAGGACAAGUUCGGCGACCCCGAGGCCCCCAACAAGGUCACCGAGCAGCCGCCCGACGACACCACCACCAGACUCGCCGGCGAGCAGGGGGAGCUCACCGCCGACGCCGAGAUCAGAUAGGUAGCUACUAGGUAGAUGGACGAGUACGGGAUCCUUCUUUUAUUUUGCCCUGUUUUCCUUGACGGAUCAAUCACCAUGGGGGCGUCUAGCUCUGUCUCUGUAAUUUAGUAAUACUUCUUGGCAGUGCAAGCUUGCUCACAUAAAUAAUGUUUGCUUGUUAAAGUACCUGCUGUCUCUCCGGAGGUAGGAGGUGGCCGGUGUUCAUCGCGGCUAAUUAGUGCUUUUCUUAAUCUUGUCAGCAUCAAAUUAUCAUCAUCCCAAAGCUGCUCUGCUUGGCCUCAGCCUGACUACAUCACAAGUCAAAACUUAGGGUACUCUCAGCCCUGCCUGACUAACUGAAUGAUGGAAUGCGGUUUCUGUCUGUCUGUUUCUUUAGCCUCCUCUCCGGCCUCAUUGAAUGUUGGAUUUCAGUUUCUGUUUGAUUUUCUUGUCUCAACUAUCAAAGCAGAUACUUGAUGCUUACAACUCCAUAAGAAAUCCGGGGGUGUUUGUUUUACUAGUUAUUACUACCUCUGUACCGAAAUACUUGCAGCUGGGGGAAACUAGUACAAGUUCCCCCAACUACAAGUAUUUCGGUACAGAGGAAGUAGAAGUAACCAUCCCAAAGCUUUGCUUGGGCUUACUUCAUCUCAGCCAGAAGCUUCUCAAUCCUGCCUCACUCCCUCUCUCAUUCUCUACUGCAGUUUCUGAUUGACCUAUCUUUAUCUCAUUUCCCAAAGCAGACCGGCCAUUGUAAAUCUGGGAGUGUUCUCUAGUCAUGUGUAACAACUUGUUAUGAGUAAGAACUAAGAACCUGUAAUCUCAGAACCAUCCUUUUAUGUUGCCCUGCUUUCCUAGAUUGACCGAUGACCAGGGGGCGUGUAUCUUUGUGUACUGAGUAGCACUGGCAGUGCAAGCCUGCUAACAUAAAUUGAUAAAUAAUGUUUGUCUGUUAGACUAACGUUGUUUAUCACGGCUAAUUAGGGUUUCACUUAUCCUGUCAACAUUGAAUUAUCAGCAUACCAAAGCUGCUACAUCUCACUCGGCAGCAGCUUCUCUAUCCUGCCCCACUCUAUGAAUGGAUGGCAAUCUCUGUUUGAUUUCCUUAUCUGAAUUCUGGGCUGCAAUCCCCAAACAGACCAUUGUCUGCUCAGGAUUUCAGAAGAGAAUCCGGGGAGUGUAUUCCUGUGAGUGAUGAGUAAGAAGAGAAACUUGUUUGGUUCGGUCACCGGGUCAGUGGUUAGCUGCCCCAUGGUGCUAUUAGUGUGUUACUGCACCUGAAAUUACGACCUUAUUCCGAAUUCCACCAGCUCUGUGAAAUCCCAGGAGCUGUGAAGCUAGGAAAUAGGUGCUCCGCGUUUUUCUAUUGUAACUCCACCUGCUCCCGGAGUGGAGGUACUCCGAACAGGGCCUACAUCUCUUGCCUCACAGUCCUCACGGAGCUGCAAUUUCUAAGUACAAGCACAAGCUUGGAGUUACAAAUGCCUUCAAACACAAGCUUGGAGACCCCGACGUCCCCCAUCAAGGCAACAGAGCACGGGCAGCCGCUGACCAGUGAGCAGGAGAAGCUCACCACCGACGCUGAGUACAGAACUUCAGAUAGGUAAGUAGAAGGAUGAGAACGAGAUCCCUGAUUUCCUUUCUCUCUUGUUACUCUAGACCUGGCGGUCACCAAAGCAUCUAGCUCUGUAAUUAGUACAGGUAGUGCAAGCUUGCUCACAUAAUUAGUGCUUCUCUUAAUCGUAUCAACGUUAACUAAAUAUUAUCCCAAAGGCUACAUUGCUUUGCUUGGCCUCAGUACUACAUCACGGUCAGCAGUAGCCUCCUCUUGGCUCUGCUCGACUCACCGAGUGAUGUUUUGCAGUUUAUGUUUGGCUUUCUUACCACAACUCCCAGGGCAGGGCAACCCCAAAGCAGAUCAUUGUCUUGUAUUUAUUAUAGUUUCAGAAGGAAUUGUGAGUGCUUUCUGUUGAUGCAUAACAAGUGCCUGCGAUUUUCUCCAUGAUUAGAUGAAUCUUUAGCUAUGCAGGCAAGUCAGAUAGGUGGCUGAGAGCUCAUCGCCGACACAGAGUUCAGAUGGGUCAAUGGGUACAUGGAUGAGAACCAGAUGACCCUUUUACAUCACCCUGUUUUCCUUGACCGAUCAAUCACCAGGGCCGUCUAGCUCUGUGUAAUUAGUAGUUCUUGGCAGUGCAAGCUUGCUCACAUAAAUAACAUUUGGUUGUUAUAGUACCACUUAGGAGCUGUUCGCCAAUCCGCCAGCUCCGUGAAAUCCUAGGAUCUGCGGAGCAUCUGCUUCCACGCUCCGCGAUUUUCAACUGCAGCUUCGCCUGCUCCAGGAGUGGAGUCGUGGAGGGACUCCGAACAGGCUCUUAAUCUUUUGAACACUGAAUUAUCAACAAUCCAAAGCUGCUCUGCUUGGCCUCUGCCUACCUACAUCACACAACAGGAGCCUCCUCUCGGCUCUGCCUGACUCACUGAAUGUUGAAUUGCAGUUUCUGUUUGGUCUUCUUAUCUGAAGUACCAAAACAGAUAAUUGAUGUUUCUUUUAGUUACGAGUCCCAAAGCUUUGCUUUGGCUUACAUCAUCUCAGCCAGCAGCUCCCCAGUCCUGCCCGACUAUCUCACUCCCUGAAUAAACUGCAGUUUCUGAUUGGUUUUUCUUAUCUCUGACCCCCAAAACAGACAUGCUGCUUUUCUUCAUAAUGGCUAUUUAGGACUUAGCUUAUCCUGUGAUUGAAUUAUCAUCAUCCCAAAUCCGCUUUGCUUGGGCUUACUGCUUCUCACUCAGCAGCAGCUUCUCAAUCCUGUCCCACUCAAUGAAUGGAUUGCAAUUUCUGUUUGGUUUUCUUGUCUGAAUGCUGAGCUGCAAUCCCAAAACAGAUCAUCUCUGCUCAGGAUUUCAGAUGAGAAUCCAGGCAGUGUAUUCUCUGCCUGAGUACCCAAUGUUGGAUGGCAGUUUCUGUUUGGUUGUCCUCUAAUCUGAACUACCAAAAUAGAUUAUUGAUGUUUACGGUUUCAAUAGAAGCCUGGGUGUGUUUUUUUAGUCAUGGCCGGAGUAACCAUCCCAAAGCUUUGCUUGGGUUUACAUCAUCUCAGCCAGCAAUUUCUGACUUCAAUCCUGCCCCACUCACUCAGUCUCUGACUGAAUUGCAGUUUCAGACCUCAUCUCCUUGUCGAUCCUUAUCUUCAAUGAUCCUGCGGAUCCAUAACUUGAAGGUGAUCUUCGACUGAAGUCUUACUGGAGCAUCAUGCGAUCACCAAGUAGUAGGACUUGUCUGAUCGUCUGGUUCAUGCGCAUGUUUGAAAGCUGGUCAUCCUUCAAAAAAAGAUGCACAGGAGCAUAUACACUAAUAGUACGAAACAAGGGAAAGAAAGUUGUACAAAUUUAACUAGUGCCAAGCGACCAGUAUGAAAAAUAUUGAGUUGCUGUCUCAAAUGCAAAUUCCAUUUGUAGAAACAAAAUGAAUUUGCUGUCUCAAAUAAUUACUGAUAGUGGUACCACACACUGAAUCUGUGGAGAUGGCCGCGUCUGGUGACCGACGGACGCCAGACGGACGAACAGAACAGGUAGUCGUGUCGUGUAACGAAUUUUAGCACGCCUAAUUGUUUUUAUAGAACAGGUCGCCGUGCCGUGAUGUAUUUUCAAUCGAUACAUUACAUGUGAGUAUAUUGAUUUUGGGAUACAUCACAUGUGAGUAUAUUGAUUUUGGGUAUAUAAAUUUCGAGUAUGUCACAUUUUAAUUAUAUUCGUGAGGUAUGUCUGGGUAUACAAACUUGGGGUAUGUCUACGGUAUCAUUUACGGGUAUGACUCAGUUACUGAAACGAGUAUACAUGUAUAUACAUAUCUAAAAGUAACAAAAAGUGAUAAAUAUAAAGAAUAUAUUUGGGUAUAUACAUAAAUUCAGGCAUGCCAUACACUUGGGUAUAUUGAUAUGCAACGACGGUCAAAAUGAGAUAAAUAUAUAGGAGACAUACAUGACAACGAUUGAUAUUAGUUUUGGAAAGCAAACAUUGCCUAUUGAAAGUGGUAGUGCAUGCAAAUAAAACAUGGAAACCCAUUAUUUCGUGGAUUUUGUUACAUGCAGUAACGACUAUAACUUGCCAUAAUGGACAUAGGUGCCCAGAAACCGUACAUAUGUAUAUAUUUGGGGCACCUAGGUUGUUAGGCACCUAGCAUUUAAUAGCUCGUGUGUCAAUUCAUUAGCAUUUGUUGAUUUGGAAAGAAUUAAAACACACAUUAAUUGAAGAGAGAAAAUAACAAAAUAAAUGGAAAUAUAUAUAUAUGUUUCCAUGCAUCAUUUUUUAUCGAUGUAUACAUGCAUGCGACCUUCUACCCACAUAUGAAAAUACGUAUACACAAAAAUUGAUAACUUCAUGAGUUUUACUUAAUAAAAUGUUUUUAUUAUUUAAAUAAAAAUAUUGUGCAUUGACUUCAAAUCAUAAAGAUAUACAAAUGGUAUAUAAUACCUAUUAUAGAGACACACGGCUAUAUUAACUAACCGCUCCUAGAAGCUAGCAUGCAUAUCGCACGCUAUUGGUGUUGGAACGAAUCUUCAUGAGCAGCGUAAACGGUCUGCACAUGAUGUCAAAUGCUCGUCGGAUCCCUUGCUCCCGUUUCGCUCGCUCCUAUGGACAUCUUCUCCGACACCUUUGGCGGCACCAAUAUGUUCAUUUUUGGAUCAUAAACCGGAUGAUACACGCAUACACGGUGGAAAGGAAACACGGGAAGGCACGUAUGCCAAAUAUUUUGCCGCACUCGUGAGUUGUAAUUUUUUGAAUUUGUUGGUUUUUGUUUUUUAUUUUAUUUUUGGGAAAUAAUUAGCCGGAUACCCACUUAUGAUUUUAACUAUUAUAAUUUUCUAUUAUGCUUAAAAAGGAUAAACACAUAACACUCCUACCAUAUGUUGAGAUAUUAUGAUUUGUGAUAUACAGUUAAACAUUUUGGUUGCAAAAUAUAUUACAAAAAAAAUCUGUUAAUUAAUUCACUUUCAGUGAAGUGGCUUCGUAAAAAAACUUCAAUUUAAUCGAGUAUCCUAAACUAAUGGGAACCAAAAACAUAAUAUGCCUCCACCGAUUAAUUAGAGACCUUAUGAAUCAUAGUGUGUACACACAUGUAUUCAGGUCCAUAUUUUUGCAUCCUUAAAACUGAAUGAAUACCGGCCAAUAAAUACUCCGGUAGAGGUUUCUAGAGUGUAUGGUUGUUUAUCCUAUGUGCUAAUAAGUAUAAAAUAUUGAGUAUAUGUUUUCGAUACUAAAUCUAAAAAAAAUAUGGAAUGUUCCAAAGCGUACAAAGUGUUGUCCAGAUUUGUCCUCUAAUAUUUGGUGUUGCUUGUUAAUGUAUUGGUUUUUUGUGAUGAGAUCUUCAAAAUAACAGAAUUGCUAAGUUAUGAAAUUUAUAAACCGUAGUCUUCAAAUUACGGAAUUACAAAUAAUUUGUUAAUCUCAACAAUUUUUGGUAGACUAUGACAAUGCACAUGAAUUUUCACAUGUGAAAGCUCAGGAAAGCCUUCAAGUGUGUCGCGGCAGUCGCUAAAGCUCACAUGCAUCAUACCUUUCUGUUGAACACCUUGUGAUUCACCAAUCUAUGUGCUCUGCUGGCAUGUGACCAGGCUUAGGAUUCAACAACCAAAUAGGAAAGACAUAUUCAAACACUUUCAAAAAUACUUCUAUAAUUGGUGAGAAAGUUGCAAAAGACUUCUAGAAGACUUCUAGAACACUUUCAAAGCGGAGCAAUUCUCGCUACACGAUCGGUAGACAGUGAAUAAGAGGAAAGGAAAACAGAAAAGCUGCUCAUUGUUCGCAGCACAAAACCUCGCUGUCCCUCGUGUUCUUCCCGUUCUUCACACCAAAUCAACAACAACAGGGUGCACUCAUGAUGUCUACUAAGCAACUUUAUUCUUGUAGACUUGUGUUGGGCCUCCAAACAUAGAGUUUUGUAGGACAGUAACAAUUUUCCUCAAGUGGAUGACCUAAGGUUUAUCAAUCCGUGGGAGACAUAGAAUGAAGAUGGUCUCUCUCAAACAACCCUGCAACCAAAUAAUAAAAAGUCCCUUGUAUCUCAGGAUGUAAGUGGGAUGUUUGCUGGACGCUCUUGGACUUGGCCACAUUGCCCAUCACAUUUUACGUGGGAUUAAGUGGUAGCCCAGUUAAUUUUUAUGUGGGACUUAUGACAUCCAUAUACUGCAACAUUCAUACUUUUUCAUAUAAAAAUACUCUAAAUCUUUCUUCAGAAAAAAAUAUACUUUCUGAGAUAAAAAUUGUUGGGGAACGUCGCAUGGGAAACAAAAAAUUUCCUACGCGCACGAAGACCUAUCAUGGUGAUGUCCAUCUACGAGAGGGGAUUUCCAAUCUACGUACCCUUGCAGAUCGCACAGCAGAAGCGUUAGUGAACGCGGUUGAUGUAGUGGAACGUGCUCAUGUCCCUCGAUCCGCCCCGCGAACCGUCCCACGAACCGUCCCGCGAUCCGUCCCACGAUCUAGUGCUGAAGGGACAGCACCUCCGCGUUCAGCACACGUACAGCUCGACGAUGAUCUCGGCCUUCUUGAUCCAGCAAGAGAGACCGAGAGGUAGAAGAGUUCUCCGGCAGCGUGACGACGCUCCGGAGGUUGGUGAUGAUCUAAUCUCGGCAGGGCUCCGCCCGAGCUCCGCAGAAACGCGAUCUAGAGGAAAAACCGUGGAGGUAUGUGGUCGGGCUGCCGUGGCAAAAGUUGUCUCAAAUCAGCCCUAAUACCUCAGUAUAUAUAGGAGGGAGGGGGAGGGAAGAGGCAGCCUCAAACCCUCAAGGUUUGGCCGAAAUUGGAGGUGGAGGAGUCCUACUCCAAUCCUAGUUGGAGUAGGAUUUCACCUUCCCACUUGGAAACUCUUACCACCUUGUGUUUUUUCCUUCUCAAACCUUAUGGGCCUUAGUGGGAACUUAUUCCAGCCCACUAGGGGCUGGUUUAUCUCUUUCCAUAGCCCAUGAGACCCCUUGGGGCGUGACACCCCUCCCGAUGGUUCCCGGCACCCCUCCCGGCACUCCCGGUACACUACCGAUGAGCCCGAAACUUUUCCGGUGACCAAAACAGGACUUCCUAUAUAUCAAUCUUUACCUCCGGACCAUUCCGGAGCUCCUCGUGACGUCCUGGAUCUCAUCCGGGACUCCGAACAACAUUCGGUAACCAACCUUAUAACUCAAAUUCGCAUAAAACAACGUCGAACCUUAAGUGUGCAGACCCUGCGGGUUCGAGAACUAUGUAGACAUGACCCGAGUGACUCCUCGGUCAAUAUCCAAUAGCGGGACCUGGAUGCCCAUAUUGGAACCUACAUAUUCUACAAAGAUCUUAUCGUUUGAACCUCAGUGCCAAGGAUUCAUAUAAUCCCGUAUGUCAUUCCCUUUGUCCUUCGGUAUGUUACUUGCCCGAGAUUCGAUCGUCAGUAUCCGCAUACCUAUUUCAAUCUCGUUUACCGGCAAGUCUCUUUACUCGUUCCGUAAUACAAGAUCCCGCAACUUACACUAAGUCACAUUGCUUGCAAGGCUUGUGUGUGAUGUUGUAUUACCGAGUGGGCCCCGAGAUACCUCUCCGUCACACGGAGUGACAAAUCCCAGUCUCGAUCCAUACUAACUCAACUAACACCUUUGGAGAUACCUGUAGAGCAUCUUUAUAGUCACCCAGUUACGUUGCGACGUUUGAUACACACAAAGCAUUCCUCCGGUGUCAGUGAGUUAUAUGAUCUCAUGGUCAUAGGAACAAAUACUUGACACGCAGAAAACAGUAGCAACAAAAUGACACGAUCAACAUGCUACGUCUAUUAGUUUGGGUCUAGUCCAUCACAUGAUUCUCCUAAUGAUGUGAUCCCGUUAUCAAGUAACAACACUUGCCUAUGGCCAGGAAACCUUGGCCAUCUUUGAUCAACGAGCUAGUCAACUAGAGGCUUACUAGGGACAGUGUUUUGUCUAUGUAUCCACACAAGUAUUGUGUUUCCAAUCAAUACAAUUAUAGCAUGGAUAAUAAACAAUUAUCUUGAACAAAGAAAUAUAAUAAUAACUAAUUUAUUAUUGCCUCUAGGGCAUAUUUCCAACAGUCUCCCACUUGCACUAGAGUCAAUAAUCUAGUUCACAUCACCAUGUGACUCCAACGAAUCCAACACCCAUAUAGUUACGGGGUCUGAUCACGUCUUGCUCAUGAGAGAGGUUUUAGUCAACGGUUCUGAAUUUUCAGAUCCGUGUGUUCUUUACAAAUCUUUAUGUCAUCUUAUAGAUGCUGCUACUAUGUGCUAUUCGGAAAUACUCCAAAUAUCUACUCUACUAUACGAAUCCGUUUCACUACUCAUAGUUAUUCGGAUUAGUGUCAAAGCUUACAUCGACGUAACCCUUUACGACGAACUCUUUAACCACCUCCAUAAUCGAGAAAAAUUCCUUAGUCCAUCAGUUACUAAGGAUAAAUUUUGACCGCUGGUAGUGAUUCAAUCAUGGAUCACUCUCUGUACCUCUCAACAGGCUUGCUGCAAGGCACACAGUCAGGUGCGGUACUCAGCAUGGCAUACUUUAGAGUCUACGACUAAGGCAUAGAAGACGACCUUCCUCUAUUCUCUUUAUUCUGCCGUGGUCGGGUUUUGAGUCUUACUCAAAUUCACACCUUACAACGCAACCAAGAACUCCUUCUUUGCUGAUCUAUUUUGAACUCCUUCAAAACUUGUCAAGACAUGCAUCUUGUUGAAACUUCCAUUAAGCGCUUUUGAUCUAUCUCCAUAGAUCUUUGAUGCUCAACGUUCAAGUAGCUCAAUCCAGGUAUUCGUUUGAAAAAUCCUUUCAGACAACCUUGUAUGCUUUACAGAAAUUCUACAUUACUUCUGAUCCACAAUAUGUCAACCACAUAUACUUAUCAGAAAUUCUAUAGUGCUCCCACUCACUUCUUUGGAAAUACAAGUUUCUCAUAAACCUUGUACAAACCCAAAAUCCUUGAUCAUCUCAUCAAAGUGUAUAUUCCAACUCCGAGAUGCUUGCACCAGUCCAUUUAAGGAUCGCUGGAGCUUGCAUACUUGCUAGUAUCUUUAGGAUCGACAAAACCUCAUGGUUGUAUCUCAUACAAUGUUUGCUCAAGGAAACCGUCGAGGAAACAAUGUUUUGACAUCCUACAUGCAAUAUUUCAUAAAUAAUGCAGCAACUACUAACAUAAUUCUAACAGACUUUUAGCAUCGCUACGAGUGAGAAAGUCUCAUCAUAGUCAACUGUUUGAUCUUGUCAGAAACAUCUUUGCGACAAGUCGAGCUUUUCUUAAUAGUGACUUAUCACCAUCGUCGUCUGUCUUCCUUACAAAGAUCCAUCUUUACUCAAUAGCCUUACUACCAUCAAGUAGUUCCUCCAAAGUCUACACUUUGUUUUAUAUAUGGAUCCUCUCUCGGAUUUCAUGGCUUCCAGCCAUUUGUCAGAAUCUGGGCCCACCAUUGCUUUCUCCAUAACUCGUAGGUUCACUGUUGCUCAACAACAUGACCUCCAAGACAGGGUUACCGUACCACUCUGUAGUAGUACACGACCUUGUCAACCUACGAGGCUUGUAGUAACUUGAUCCGAUGCUCGAUGAUCACCAUCAUCAGCUUUCACUUCAAUUGGUGUAGGCGCCACAGGAACAACUUCCUGCGCCCUGCUACACACUGGUCGAAGUGAUGGUUCAAUAACCUCAUCAAGUUCUACUACCCUCCCAUUCAAUUCUUUCGAGAGAAACCUUUCCUCGAGAAAGGAUCCGUUUCUAGAAACAAACACUUUGCUUUCGGAUCUGAGAUAGGAGAUGUACCCAACUGUUUUGGAUAUCCUAUGAAGAUGCAUUUAUCCACUUUGGGUUCGAGCUUAUCAGACUGAAACUUUUUCACAUAAGUGUCGAAACCCCAAACUUUCAAGAAACGACAGUUUAGAUUUCUCUAAACCUCAGUCUAUACUGUGUCAUCUCAACGGAAUACGUGAUGCCCUAUUUAAAGUGAAUGCGGUUGUCUCUAAUGCUUAACCCAUAAACGAUAGUGGUAAUUUGAUAAGAGACAUCAUAGCAUGCACCAUACCAAAUAGUGUGUGGCUAUGACGUUCAGACACAUCAUCACACUAUGAUGUUCUAGGUGGCAUGAACUGCGAAACAAUUUCCACAUUGUCUUAACUGCGUACCAAAACUCGUAACUCAGAUAUUCAUUUCUAUGAUCAUAUCAUAGACAGUUUAUCCUCUUGUUACGACAAACUUCACUCCGAAACAGAAUUGAACUUUUCAAUAUUUCAGACUUGUGAUUCAUUAAGCAAAUACUCUAGUAUCUACUCAAAUCGUCAUUGAAGCAAGAACAUAAUGAUAUCCACUGCGUGCCUCAGCACCCAUUGGACUGCAUACAUCAAAAUGUAUCACUUCCAACAAGUUACUAUCUUAUUUCAUCUCAAUGAAAACAAGGCCUUUCUCAUGUGGUAUGAUUUGCAUGUCAGCAGUGAUUCAAAAUCAAGUGAGUAUAAAGAUCCAUCAGCAUGGAGCCUCUUUAUGCAAUUUAUACCAACAUGACUCAAGCGGCAGUGCCACAAGUAAGUGGUACUAUCAUCAUUACCUCGUAUCUUUUGGCACCAAUAUCAUGAACAUGUGUAACACUACGAUCGAGAUUCAAUAAACCAUUGAAGGUGAUUAUUCAAGAAAAUAGAGUAACCAUUAUUCUCUUUAAAUGAAUAAUCGUAUUGCAAUAAACAUGAUCCAAUCAUGUUCAUGCUUAACGCAAGCACCAAAUAACAAUUAUUUAGGUUUAACACCAAUCCCGAUGGUAGAGGGAGCGUGCGACGUUUGAUCAUAUCAACCUUGGAAACACUUCCAACACGUAUCGUCACCUCGCCUUUAGCUAGUCUCCGUAUAUGCCGUAGCUUUCAUUUCAUGUUACUAAUCACUUAGCAACCGAACCGGUAUCCAAUACCCUCAUGCUACUAGGAGUACUAGUAAAGUACACAUCAACAUCAUGUAUAUCAAAUAUACUUCUUUCGACUUUUGCCAGCCUUCUUAUCUACCAAGUAUCUAGAGUUGCUCCGCCUCAGUGACUGUUCCCCUCAUUACAGAAGCACUUAGUCUCGGGUUUGGGUUUAAUCUUGGGUCUCUUCAUUAGUGCAGCAACUGUUUUGCCAUUUCACGAAGUAUCCCUUCUAGCCCUUGCCUUUCUUGAAACUUAGUGGUUUUACAAACCAUCAACUAUUGAUGCUCCUUCUUGAUUUCUACUUUCGCAGUGUCAAACAUCGCGAAUCGCUCAAGGAUCAUUGUAUCUAUCCUUGAUAUGUUAUAGUUCAUCACGAAGCUCUCACAGCUUGGUGGCAGUGACUUUGGAGAACCAUCACUAUCUCAUCUGGAAGAUUAACUCCCACUUGAUUCAAGUGAUUGUCGUGCUCAGACAAUCUGAGCACACGCUCAACGAUUGAGCUUUUCUCCUUUACUUUGUGGACAAAGAAUCUUGUCGAAGGUCUCGUACCUCUCAACAAGGGCACGAGCAUGAAAUCACAAUUUCAUCUCUUUAGAACAUCACUUAUGUUCCGUGACGUUUCAAAACGUCUUCGGUGCCUUGCUUCUAAGCCAUUAAGUAUUUUGCACUGAACUAUCGUGUAGUCAUCAGAAACGUGUAUGUCGGAUGUUCACAGCAUCCACAGACGACGCUCGGGGUGCAGCACACCGAGUGGUGCAUUAAGGACAUAAGCCUUCUGCGCAGCAACGAGGACAAUCCUCUUCAAAGUUUGCUACUAUCAACUUUCAACUAAAAUUUCUCUAGGAACAUAUAAAAACAGUAGAGCCAUAGCGCAAGCUACAUCGUAAUUCGCAAAGACCAUUAGACUAUGUUCAUGACAAUUAGUUCAAUUAAUCAUAUUACUUAAGAACUCCCACUCAAAAAGUACAUCUCUCUAGUCAUUUGAGUGGUACAUGAUCCAAAUCCACUAUCUCAAGUCCGAUCAUCACGUGAGUCGAGAAUAGUUUCAGUGGUAAGCAUCUCUAUGCUAAUCAUAUCAACUAUACGAUUCAUGCUCGACCUUUCGGUCUCAUGUGUUCCGAGGCCAUGUCUGCACAUGCUAGGCUCGUCAAGUUUAACCCGAGUGUUCCGCGUGUGCAACUGUUUUGCACCCGUUGUAUGUGAACGUUGAGUCUAUCACACCCGAUCAUCACGUGGUGUCUCGAAACGAAGAACUGUCGCAACGGUGCACACUCGGGGAGAACACAAUUUCGUCUUGAAAUUUUAGUGAGAGUUCACCUCAUAAUGCUACCGUCGUUCUAAGCAAGAUAAGGUGCAUAAAGGAUUAACAUCACAUGCAAUUCAUAAGUGACAUGAUAUGGCCAUCAUCAUGUGCUUCUUGAUCAUCAUCACCAAAGCACCGGCACGAUCUUCUUGUCACCGGCGUCACACCAUGAUCUCCAUCAUCAUGAUCUCCAUCAACGUGUCGCCAUCGGGGUUGUCGUGCUACUCAUGCUAUUACUACUAAAGCUACGUCCUAGCAAUAUAGUAAACGCAUCUGCAAGCACAAACGUUAGUUUAAAGACAACCCUAUGGCUCCUGCCGGUUGCCGUACCAUCGACUUGCAAGUCGAUAUUAACUAUUACAACAUGAUCAUUUCAUACAUCCAAUAUAUCACAUCACAUCGUUGGCCAUAUCACAUCACAAGCAUACCCUACAAAAACAAGUUAGACGUCCUCUAAUUUUGUUGUUGCAUGUUUUACGUGGUGAUCAUGGGUAUCUAGUAAGAUCGCAUCUUACGUAAACACCACAACGGAGAUAUAUGAAUUGCUAUUUAACCUCAUCCAAGGACCUCCUCGGUCAAUUCCGAUUCAACUAAAGUUGGAGAAACUGACACCCGCCAGUCAUCUUUGAGCAACGGAGUUACUCGUAGCGAUGAAACCAGUCUCUCGUAAGCGUACGAGUAAUGUCGGUCCGAGCCGCUUCGAUCCAACAAUACCGUGGAAUCAAGAAAAGACUAAGGAGGGCAGCAAAACGCACAUCACCGCCCACAAAAACUUUUGUGUUCUACUCGAGAAGACAUCUACGCAUGAACCUAGCUCAUGAUGCCACUGUUGGGGAACGUCGCAUGGGAAUCAAAAAAUUUCCUACGCGCACGAAGACCUAUCAUGGUGAUGUCCAUCUACGAGAGGGGAUUUCCAAUCUACGUACCCUUGCAGAUCGCACAGCAGAAGCGUUAGUGAACGCGGUUGAUGUAGUGGAACGUGCUCACGUCCCUCGAUCCGCCCCGCGAACCGUCCCACGAACCGUCCCGCGAUCCGUCCCACGAUCUAGUGCUGAACGGACAACACCUCCGCGUUCAGCACACGUACAGCUCGACGAUGAUCUCGGCCUUCUUGAUCCAGCAAGAGAGACGGAGAGGUAGAAGAGUUCUCCGGCAGCGUGACGGCGCUCCGGAGGUUGGUGAUGAUCUAAUCUCGGCACGGCUCCUCCCGAGCUCCGCAGAAACGCAAUCUAGAGGAAAAACCGUGGAGGUAUGUGGUCGGGCUGCCAUGGCAAAAGUUGUCUCAAAUCAGCCCUAAUACCUCAGUAUAUAUAGGAGGGAGGGGGAGGGAAGAGGCAGCCUCAAUCCCUCAAGGUUUGGCCGAAAUUGGAGGUGGAGGAGUCCUACUCCAAUCCUAGUUGGAGUAGGAUUCCACCUUCCCACUUGGAAACUCUUUCCACCUUGUGUUUUUUCCUUCUCAAACCUUAUGGGCCUUAGUGGGAACUUAUUCCAGCCCACUAGGGGCUGGUUUAUCUCUUCCCAUAGCUCAUGAGACCCCUUGGGGCGUGACACCCCUCCCGAUGGUCCCCGGCACCCCUCCCGGCACUCCCGGUACACUACCGAUGAGCCCGAAACUUUUCCGGUGACCAAAACAGGACUUCCUAUACAUCAAUCUUUACCUCCGGACCAUUCCGGAGCUCCUCGUGACGUCCUGGAUCUCAUCCGGGACUCCGAACAACAUUCUCUAACCAACCAUAUAACUCAAAUACGCAUAAAACAACGUCGAACCUUAAGUGUGCAGACCCUGCGGGUUCGAGAACUAUGUAGACAUGACCCGAGUGACUCCUCGGUCAAUAUCCAAUAGCGGGACCUGGAUGCCCAUAUUGGAUCCUACAUAUUCUACGAAGAUCUUAUCGUUUGAACCUCAGUGCCAAGGAUUCAUAUAAUCCCGUAUGUCAUUCCCUUUGUCCUUCGGUAUGUUACUUGCCCGAGAUUCGAUCGUCAGUAUCCGCAUACCUAUUUCAAUCUCGUUUACCGGCAAGUCUCUUUACUCGUUCCGUAAUACAAGAUCCCGCAACUUACACUAAGUCACAUUGCUUGCAAGGCUUGUGUGUGAUGUUGUAUUACCGAGUGGGCCCCGAGAUACCUCUCCGUCACACGGAGUGACAAAUCCCAGUCUCGAUCCAUACUAACUCAACUAACACCUUUGGAGAUACCUGUAGAGCAUCUUUAUAGUCACCCAGUUACGUUGCGACGUUUGAUACACACAAAGCAUUCCUCCGGUGUCAGUGAGUUAUAUGAUCUCAUGGUCAUAGGAACAAAUACUUGACACGCAGAAAACAGUAGCAACAAAAUGACACGAUCAACAUGCUAGUCUAUUAGUUUGGGUCUAGUCCAUCACAUGAUUCUCCUAAUGAUGUGAUCCCGUUAUCAAGUAACAACACUUGCCUAUGGCCAGGAAACCUUGGCCAUCUUUGAUCAACGAGCUAGUCAACUAGAGGCUUACUAGGGACAGUGUUUUGUCUAUGUAUCCACACAAGUAUUGUGUUUCCAAUCAAUACAAUUAUAGCAUGGAUAAUAAACGAUUAUCAUGAACAAAGAAAUAUAAUAAUAACUAAUUUAUUAUUGCCUCUAGGGCAUAUUUCCAACAAAAAUACUAUCCAUAUAUUGCAACAAAAUAGUAUUUCUUAGAUAAAAAUACUCUGAAUCUCUCUUCAAAUUAAACAUCUCUCUACCACUUACACUCUCUCAGAUAAUAAUUAAACUACAGGAUAAAAUUCAUACUUUCAUAGUACAAGAAAGAGCAAAAUCUACAAAGCAACAACAACUUGCACCAUGAAUCAAGCAUUUUUUUGUAGAUGAAAUGUAUGCUUCCAUCUCAUUUCCUCAUAACCAGGUCCCAAGAGUGCAGCAAAAUACCACCAGAACCAAAAAGAGCGUGAAGUCAGCCAAAAUGGUGAGGACCCUCUAGAUCCACCGGAACCAGAACCUACUUACAUUUUCCCUACUAGCGUUGUCUCAGAACCACAAAAUGAUCAUGUCGGCGACCGUCUGACAGGUCAGGUCGAGGAGCCCCUUGAUGUCUAGGUAGUUCGCAGCCUGUCAAGGCAAAUGAAAGCAAUCAAUGUCAAGCAUCACACUAAACAUAUACAUAUAAGAACAGGAGCAUCAGACAUAGUAGAUCAAUCCAUUAUCGGCAGGAGACAGAGCUUCACUUCAUAUUUAAGAAACAGAGUAUUUAAUUUGCCCAUCAACAACUGCAAAGCAGACGAGGUAUUAAGUAAUUGAACCUGACAUUAUUCAAAAAGAUGAAAAUAUGCAUACGUUGACACAAUGGCAUGUAGAUCAGAAUUGAUCCCAAUCAAGUGUAUUUAAUUUCGUGCAGCACAAGCUAAGUUACAGCGUGAAGCACAUGUAAACACAUACUCGAAAGUAAGUUCACUGUCCUUAACUUCUCAAUAUAAAAUAUUAUUAUGUUGUCCAUAGCUACUCCCAAUGAUGGCAAAAAUUGGCUCAGGUCUCAAACAUGUAGUUAGCAUGCAGAGGCUGGCAGAACAUUCCACCCUAAACACAAUGCAAGGUAUUCAUCAAAAGACUAAUAGCUUGCAGAGGUAACUAUACGAGACCUGUCUUUGCUAUAAGAAGCAGAUAAUGCUUUAGGUUGCGAGGGCAGAAGUAUCUACAUCAUAGGAAUAGUAGCAACUGAAAUUUAGAGAACCCCAAGCAUUACUGACUCACCUAUCCUGGCCCCUUAUCUGCAACGGCUUGGUCGUGACAAAAAAACACGGCAUGAGAUAUCCAAACUAAAGAAAAGAAAGCGGUGUAACUAGUGAGACCAAUACAACUAUACAAGGCCACCAUGUUGCAUACCCAAGGCUGUAGAGAAUCGAUAGAAACCAGGACUGGAAUGUGUUCUUAAACAUUGUUUUCCCAAGCUUGUACAUCUGCCUUGUUAUAGCAUGCUAGUAGUACACAUGGGGAAAGGAAAGUAAAGGUAAGUAAAUACCUCAGUUAAUAGUAGUGGUCUUCCUGAACAAUGUCACACUGAACAUCAGAUUUAUACCAAUCUUGGAGGCAGAUCAAGGCUUCGGCAGUCUUGUUGCUCAGUCUACUUCUAUAAUCUCUUACCACACGAUGUCCAAUACUAAAAGCUGAUUCAGAUGGUAUGUUACUUGCCCAAGAUUCGAUCGUUAGUAUCCGCAUACCUAUUUCAAUCUCGUUUACCGGCAAGUCUCUUUACUCGUUCCGUAAUACAAGAUCCCGCAACUUACACUAAGUCACAUUGCUUGCAAGGCUUGUGUGUGAUGUUGUAUUACCGAGUGGGCCCCGAGAUACCUCUCCGUCACACGGAGUGACAAAUCCCAGUCUUGAUCCAUACUAACUCAACUAACACCUUCGGAGAUGCCUGUAGAGCAUCUUUAUAGUCACCCAGUUACGUUGCGACGUUUGAUACACACAAAGUAUUCCUCCGGUGUCAGUGAGUUAUAUGAUCUCAUGGUCAUAGGAACAAAUACUUGACACGCAGAAAACAGUAGCAACAAAAUGACACGAUCAACAUGCUACAUCUAUUAGUUUGGCUCUAGUCCAUCACGUGAUUCUCCUAAUGACGUGAUCCAGUUAUCAAGCAACAACACCUUGUUCAUAAUCAGAAGACACUGACUAUCUUUGAUCAACUGGCUAGCCAACUAGAGGCUUGCUAGGGACAGUGUUUUGUCUAUGUAUCCACACAUGUAAAUGAGUCUUCAUUCAAUACAAUUAUAGCAUGGAUAAUAAACGAUUAUCUUGAUACAGGAAUUAUAAUAAUAACUAUAUUUAUUAUUGCCUCUAGGGCAUAAUUCCAACAGUCUCCCACUUGCACUAGAGUCAAUAAUCUAGCCCUCACAUCAUCAUGUGAAUUACAUUGUAAUAAAUCUAACACCCAUACAGUUCUGGUGUUGAUCAUGCUUUGGCCGUGGAAGAGGUUUAGUCAACGGGUCUGCUACAUUCAGAUCCGUGUGCACUUUGCAUAUAUUUACGUCCUCCCCUUCGACGUAGUCGCGGAUGAGGUUAAAGCGUCGUUUGAUGUGUCUGGACUUCUUGUGAAACCAUGGUUCCUUUGCUAAGGCAAUGGCACCCGUGUUGUCACAGAACAAGGUUAUUGGAUUCAGUGCGCUUGGCACCACUCCAAGAUCCGUCAUGAACUGCUUCAUCCAGACACCCUCCUUAGCCGCCUCCGAGGCAGCCAUGUACUCCGCUUCACAUGUAGAAUCUGCUACGACGCUUUGCUUGGAACUGCACCAGCUUACCGCACCCUCAUUAAGAAUAAAUACGUAUCCGGUUUGCGACUUAGAGUCGUCCGGAUCUGUGUCAAAGCUUGCAUCGACGUAACCUUUUACGGCGAGCUCUUCGUCACCUCCAUAUACGAGAAACAUAUCCUUAGUCCUUUUCAGGUACUUCAGGAUAUUCUUGACCGCCGUCCAGUGAUCCACUCCUGGAUUACUCUGGAACCUACCUGCCAUACUUAUGGCCAGGCUAACAUCCGGUCUAGUGCACAACAUUGCAUACAUGAUAUAACCUAUGGCUGAAGCAUAGGGGACGGAGCGCAUAUGCUCUCUAUCUUCAUCAGUUGUUGGGCACUGAGUCUUACUCAAUCUCGUACCUUGUAAAACUGGCAAGAACCCCUUCUUGGACUGUUCCAUUUUGAACCUCUUCAAAACUUUAUCAAGGUAUGUGCUUUGUGAAAGUCCUAUCAGGCGUUUUGAUCUAUCCCUAUAGAUCUUAAUGCCUAGAAUGUAAGCAGCUUCUCCUAGGUCCUUCAUAGAGAAACUUUUAUUUAAGUAAUCCUUUAUGCUCUCCAAAAACUCUACGUUAUUUCCAAUCAGCAAUAUGUCAUCCACAUAUAAUAUUAGAAACGCCACAGAGCUCCCACUCACUUUCUUGUAAAUACAAGAUUCUCCAACCACUUGUAUACACCCAAAUGCUUUGAUCACCUCAUCAAAGCGUUUGUUCCAACUCCGAGAUGCUUGCACCAGUCCAUAAAUGGAUCGCUGGAGCUUGCACACCUUGUUAGCAUUCUUAGGAUCGACAAAACCUUCGGGUUGCAUCAUAUACAAUUCUUCCUCAAGGAAACCGUUAAGGAACGCCGUUUUGACAUCCAUCUGCCAGAUUUCAUAAUUGAAAAAUGCAGCUAUUGCUAACAUGAUUCUAACGGACUUAAGCAUCGCUACGGGUGAGAAUGUCUCAUCGUAGUCAACUCCUUGAACUUGUGAAAAACCCUUUGCCACAAGUCGAGCUUUAUAAACGGUCACAUUGCCGUCAGCGUCCGUCUUCCUCUUAAAGAUCCAUUUGUUCUGAAUAGCCUUGCGGCCCUCAGGCAGUACCUCCAAAGUCCACACUUUGUUCUCAUACAUGGAUCCUAUCUUGGACUUCAUGGCUUCUAGCCAUUCGUUGGAAUCCGGGCCCACCAUUGCUUCUUCAUAAUUUGCAGGUUCAUUGUUGUCAAACAACAUGAUUGAUAAGACGGGAUUACCGUACCACUCUGGAGCAGCACGUGGUCUCGUCGACCUGCAUGGUUCAACAGAAACUUGAACUGGAGUUUCAUGAUCACCAUCAUUAACUUCCUCCUCAGUCGGCGUCGCAACGACAGAGGUUUCCCCUUGCCCUGCGCCACCAUCCAGAGGGAUGAGAGGUUCGACAACCUCGUCAAGUUCUAUCUUCCUCCCAUUCAAUUCUCUCGAGAGAAACUCCUUCUCGAGAAAAGCUCCAUUUUUAGCAACAAACACUUUGCCCUCGGAUUUGAGAUAGAAGGUGUACCCAACUGUCUCUUUUGGGUAACCUAUGAAGAUGCACUUUUCCGCUUUGGGUUCCAGCUUUUUAGGCUUAAGCUUUUUGACAUAAGCAUCACAUCCCCAAACUUUAAGAAACGACAACUUUGGCCUUUUGCCAUACCACAGUUCGUAUGGUGUCGUCUCAACGGAUUUUGAUGGUGCCCUAUUUAAAGUGAAUGCAGCUGUUUCUAAUGCAUAACCCCAAAACGAUAAUGGCAAAUCGGUAAGAGACAUCAUAGAUCGCACCAUCUCUAAUAAAGUACGAUUACGACGUUGGGACACACCAUUACGCUGUGGUGUUCCAGGCGGUGUCAACUGUGAAACAAUUCCACAUUGUCUUAAGUGAGCACCAAACUCGAAACUCAGAUAUUCACCCCCACGAUCAGACCGUAGGAACUUGAUCUUCUUGUUAUGAUGAUUUUCAACUUCACUCUGAAAUUGCUUGAACUUUUCAAAUGUUUCAGACUUGUGCUUCAUUAAGUAGACAUAACCAUAUCUACUCAAAUCGUCAGUGAAGGUGGGAAAAUAACGAUAUCCGCCGCGUGCCUCUACGCUCAUCGGACCACACACAUCGGUAUGUAUGAUUUCCAACAAGUCAGUUGCACGCUCCAUUGUUCCGGAGAACGGAGUUUUAGUCAUCUUGCCCAUGAGGCAUGGUUCGCACGUGUCAAGUGAAUCAAAGUCAAGUGACUCCAAAAGUCCAUCGGCAUGGAGUUUCUUCAUGCGCUUUACACCAAUAUGACCUAAGCGGCAGUACCACAAAAAUAUAGCGCUAUCAUUGUUAACUCUAACUCUUUUGGUCUCAAUGUUAUAUAUGUGUGUAUCGCUAUCAAGAUUCAAUAUGAACAAUCCUCUCACAUUGGGUGCAUGACCAUAAAAGAUGUUACUCAUAGCAAUAGAACAACCAUUAUUCUCUGACUUAAAAGAGUAACCGUCUCGCAAUAAACAAGAUCCGGAUAUAAUGUUCAUGCUCAACGCAGGCACUAAAUAACAAUGAUUCAAGUUCAUAACUAAUCCUGAUGGUAACUGAAGUGAAACUGUGCCGACGGCGAUUGCAUCAACAUUGGAACCAUUUCCUACGCGCAUCGUCACUUCAUCUUUCGCCAGCCUUCGUCUAUUCCGCAGUUCCUGUUUCGAGUUGCAAAUAUGAGCAACAGCACCGGUAUCGAAUACCUAGGAACUACUACGAGAGCCGGUUAAGUACACAUCAAUAACAUGUAUAUCAAAUAUACCUGAUUUUCUUUGGCCGCCUUCUUAUCUGCCAGAUACUUGGGGCAAUUGCGCUUCCAGUGACCCAUACCCUUGCAAUAGUAACACUCUGUUUCAGGCUUAGGUCCAGCUUUGGGUUUCUUCGUCGGAUUGGCAACAGGCUUGCCGCUCUUCUUUGAAUUACCCUUCUUGCCUUUGCCGUUUCUCUUGAAACUAGUGGUUUUAUUCACCAUCAACACUUGAUGCUCUUUACAGAGUUCAGACUCUGCGACUUUCAGCAUCGCAAACAAUUCGUCGGGAGACUUGUUCAUCCCUUGCAUGUUGUAGUUCAACACAAAGCCUUUAUAGCUUGGCGGCAGUGAUUGAAGGAUUCUGUCAGUGAUAGCCUCUUGCGGGAGUUCAAUCCCCAGCUCAGCUAGGCGGUUUGAGUACCCAGACAUUUUGAGCACAUGUUCACUGACAGACGAGUUCUCCUCCAUCUUGCAAGCAUAGAAUUUAUCGAAGGUCUCAUACCUCCCGAUCCGGGCGUUCUUCUGAAAGAUAAACCUCAACUCCUGGAACAUCUCAAAUGCUCCAUGACGCUCAAUCGACGUUGAAGUCCCGGUUCUAAGCCAUACAAGACUGCACAUUGAACUACGGAGUAGUCCUCCUUACGUGCUAACCAAGCGUUCUUAACAUCCUGAUCAGCCAUAGUGGGUGGUUCAUCUCCUAGCGCAGCAUUAAGGACAUAAUCCUUCUUCCCAGCUUGUAAGAUUAGCUUAAGAUUACGAGCCCAGUCUACAAAGUUUCUUCCAUCAUCUUUCAACUUAGCUUUCUCUAGGAACGUAUUAAAAUUCAGGGUGACUGUCGCGUGAGCCAUGAUCUACAACACAAAUAAUUCAAAGUGGACUUAGACUAUGUUCAAGAUAAUCAGAGUUUAACUUAAAUCAAAUUAUUCGCUAAACUCCCACUCAAAAAGUACAUCUCUCUAGUCAUUUGAGUGGUUCAUGAUCCACUUACACUAGCUCAAGUCCGAUCAUCACGUGAGUUGAGUAUAGUUUCAGUGGUAAGCAUCCCUAUGCUAAUCAUAUCAUCUAUACGAUUCAUGAUCGACCUUUCGGUCUCAUGUGUUCCGAGGCCAUGUCUGCACAUGCUAGGCUCGUCAAGCUUAACCCGAGUGUUCCGCGUGCGCAACUGUUUUGCACCCGUUGUAUGUGAACGUUGAGUCUAUCACACCCGAUCAUCAUGUGGUGUCUCGAAACGACGAACUGUAGCAACGGUGCACAGUCGGGGAGAACACAAUUUCGUCUUGAAAUUUUAGUGAGAGAUCACCUCAUAAUGCUACCGUCGUUCUAAGCAAAAUAAGGUGCAUAAAAGGAUUAACAUCACAUGCAAUUCAUAAGUGACAUGAUAUGGCCAUCAUCACGUGCUCCUUGAUCUCCAUCAUCAAAGCACCGACACGAUCUUCUUGUCACCGGCGCCACACCGUGAUCUCCAUCAACGUGUCGCCAUCGGGGUUGUCGUGCUACUCAUGCUAUUACUACUAAAGCUACAUCCUAGCAAAAUAGUAAACGCAUCUGCAAGCACAAACAUUAGUAUAAAGACAACCCUAUGGCUCCUGCCGAUUGCCGUACCAUCGACCUGCAAGUCGAUAUUAUCUAUUACAACAUGAUCAUCUCAUACAUCCAAUAUAUCACAUCACAUCGUUGGCCAUAUCACAUCACAACCAUACCCUGCAAAAACAAGUUAGACGUCCUCUAAUUUUGUUGUUGCAUGUUUUACGUGGUGACCAUGGGUAUCUAGUAGGAUCGCAUCUUACUUACGUAAACACCACAACGGAGAUAUAUGAGUUGCUAUUUAACCUCAUCCAAGGACCUCCUCGGUCAAAUCCGAUUCAACUAAAGUUGGAGAAACCGACACUUGCCAGUCAUCUUUGAGCAACGGGGUUACUCAUAGCGAUGAAACCAGUCUCUCGUAAGCGUAUGAGUAAUGUCGGUCCAAGCCGCUUCAAUCCAACAAUACCGCGGAAUCAAGAAAAGACUAAGGAGGGCAGAAAAACGCACAUCACCGCCCACAAAAAACUUUUGUGUUCUACUCGAGAAGACAUCUACGCAUGAACCUAGCUCAUGAUGCCACUGUUGGGUAACGUCGCAUGGGAAACAAAAAUUUUCCUACACGCACGAAGACCUAUCAUGGUGAUGUCCAUCUACGAGAGGGGAUGAGUGAUCUACGUACCCUUGUAGACCGUACAACAGAAGCGUUAGUGAACUCGGUUGAUGUAGUGGAACGUCCUCACGUCCCUCGAUCCGCCCCGCGAACUAUCCCGCUAUCAGUCCCACGAUCUAGUGCCGAACGGACGGCACCUCCGCGUUCAGCACACGUACAGCUCGACGAUGAUCUCGGCCUUCUUGAUCCAGCAAGAGAGACGGAGAGGUAGAAGAGUUCUCCGGCAGCGUGACGGUGCUCCGGAGGUUGGUGAUGACCUUGUCUCAGCAGGGCUCCGCCCGAGCUCCGCAGAAACGCGAUCUAGAGGAAAAACCGUGGAGGUAUGUGGUCGGGCUGCCGUGGAAAAGUCGUCUCAAAUCAGCCCUAAAACAUCCGUAUAUAUAGGUGGGAGCGGCCCAAGGGGGUCGGCCGAGCCAAGGGGGGAAGGUCUCCCCGCCCCCCAAACCGAGUUGGACUUGGUUUGGUGAGCGGGAGUCCUUCCUUCCCUUCCCACCUCCUCCUUUUUUUUCUUUCUCUUUGAUUUUUCUUCUAAUGCGCAUAGGGCCCUUUUGGGCUGUCCCACCAGCCCACUAAGGGCUGGUGCGCCACCCUCAAGGCCUAUGGGCUUCCCCGGGGGGGUUGACCCCCCCCCCCCCCGGUGAACUCCCGGAACCCAUUUGUCAUUCCCGGUACAUUCCCGGUAACUCUGAAAACCUUCCGGUAAUCAAAUGAGGUCAUCCUAUAUAUCAAUCUUCGUUUCCGGACCAUUCCGGAAACCCUCGUGACGUCCGUGAUCUCAUCCAGGACUCCGAACAACAUUCGGUAACCAACCAUAUAACUCAAAUACGCAUAAAACAACGUCGAACCUUAAGUGUGCAGACCCUGCGGGUUCGAGAACUAUGUAGACAUGACCUGAGAGACUCCUCGGUCAAUAUCCAAUAGCGGGACCUGGAUGCCCAUAUUGGAUCCUACAUAUUCUAUGAAGAACUUAUCAUUUGAACCUCAGUGUCAAGGAUUCAUAUAAUCCCGUAUGUCAUUCCCUUUGUCCUUCGGUAUGUUACUUGCCCGAGAUUCGAUCGUUAGUAUCCGCAUACCUAUUUCAACCUCGUUUACUGGCAAGUCUCUUUACUCGUUCCGUAAUACAAGAUCCCGCAACUUACACUAAGUCACAUUGCUUGCAAGGCUUGUGUGUGAUGUUGUAUUACCGAGUGGGCCCCGAGAUACCUCUCCGUCACACGGAGUGACAAAUCCCAGUCUUGAUCCAUACUAACUCAACUAACACCUUCGGAGAUACCUGUAGAGCAUCUUUAUAGUCAUCCAAUUACGUUGCGACGUUUGAUACACACAAAGAAUUCCUCCGGUGUCAUUGAGUUAUAUGAUCUCAUGGUCAUAGGAAUAAAUACUUGACACGUAGAAAACAGUAGCAACAAAAUGACACGAUCAACAUGCUACGUCUAUUAGUUUGGGUCUAGUCCAUCACGUGAUUCUCCUAAUGACGUGAUCCAAUUAUCAAGCAACAACACCUUGUUCAUAAUUAGAAGACACUGACUAUCUUUGAUCAACUGGCUAGCCAACUAGAGGCUUGCUAGGGACAGUGUUUUGUCUAUGUAUCCACACAUGUAAAUGAGUCUUCAUUCAAUACAAUUAUAGCAUGGAUAAUAAACGAUUAUCUUGAUACAUGAAUUAUAAUAAUAACUAUAUUUAUUAUUGCCUCUAGGGCAUAAUUCCAACACCACGGAAGCUGGUACAGCAAGAACAUCACGAGCUAUACAAAAAGGAUGGGAUACUUUGAAGAAUGAAUAUACCACCAUUGAAGAAUGUUGAAAUUGUCUUUGCGAUCGAAUGUUUCUUCCUCCAAGUAUCUAUCAAGCUCAUUAGCAGAUUGGCGUUGCUUCUGGUGCAAGUGUUGAUACCAAUCUGCCAAAGGAUCAUUCUCUUCAAUCAUAACCUCAUCAUUUUUCUGUCCUUGAGUUGACUCACCCAGUGCAUCUGCCAUUUGUGAAGAAUAUUCUUCAAACAGGCUAUUAAGAGUGUUUUUCACAGCAUCCAAGUGUUUCUCUAUAUCUGAACCAAAGGCUUGUUUUAAACGAAACUCAACAAAGCUUAGUUUGAAUCGAGGAUCAAGGAUCACAACUAUACAAUUUGGCAAAUAUGACUCGAUCCAGUAUUUGUCAAACUUUGCGUGCAUCACAGCAACCAUUGCUCGAAUAACAUCAUUCUGUAACGAUGCUUCCUUCUGAAGUAACACUCUCACAUUCCAUAUUUGAUGGAAGUACAUAUUUGAGGUAGGAUAACUUGAACCAGAAAAUACUUCUGUGGCUGUGUGAAAGACUCUUAACAUAGCACAAACAAUUUGAGCUCUUUUCCACUCUUCCGAUGAUGGACAGAAUUUGUAAUCCUUGUCCCGUCCAACCAAAGUACGAAAUGCUCUUCGAAAUGGGAGAGAUGACUCUAACAUAAGAAAGGUGGAAUUCCAAUGCGUUGGCACAUUGAGUGAGGGGAGUUUGCAAGAAAUACCAACUUCUGCAAUUACUUCUUUGAACUUAUCCAACUGAGAGGGGGAACUCUUAACAUACUUUGUACUCUCUCUUAUAUUAUCUAUCACACCUUUCAUCACUGUCAACCCAUCUUGGACAAUCAAAUUUAGCACAUGGCAUGCAUAACGAAUGUGAAAUAAUUGACCUUCAAUAGGCAACAUAUGCUUGUUGUUCAUAUUUUUUCUUAGAUAGUCAACCAUUGUGCCAUUAACAACUGCAUUGUCUAAUGUUAUACUAAAGAGUUUGUCUUCAAUGUUCCAAUCUUGCAAACUCUUUAACAAUAAAUUAAACAUUGAUAUUCCAUUAUGUGGAGUCUCUACCAUAAAAACCUCAUGAUAUGUUUUCUCAAAGCCCAAUUUGUGACAAAAUGGCAAGUUAUGCAUAGAUAUGACAAAGUUUGAUUAGACGUCCACAAUCCACAUAUCAGCUGUUAAAGAGACUCUGCCUCUAUAUUUCUUGAAACCUUCACAGAAUUUUAAUCUCUCUUCAUUAAAUUGUUCCAUGCAAUCAUAUUUAACAGUACCUCUAGAAACCAUGCUAAACAAGGGAUUCAAGCUUUUCACAAAGUCUCGAAAGCCACUAUACUCAACAAAUGAGAAAGGCAACUCAUCCAUUACUGUAAUUCUAGCCAACAACUUUCUAGAUGCAAUUUGAUCAAAACUCCAUUGCUGAAGCAUAGAUCCAUGAGGAGAUGAAAUUGAGGACUUCAACUUGUCAACAACAAGGGACAGAUCUGACCUUUUUUCGCAAGCAGCCAAGUGCGUUUGUACACCAUUAGUACCCAUGCCACGUCCAGCUGGAAACACCUCAAGACAGUGGUUGCACUGAGCUUUGACAAGUAUGUUACGAUGAUAAAUAGGUUUGGCAUCCCUCCAAACAGCAGAAGUUAAUCUUCGUGUCUUGCGGACUAUUAAUUGGCAAGCAUAAAAAUAAAGUCAACUCACAAGAACAUUUUUAAAGUUGUAACUAUAUACAAGAGUAAUUUUGGAAGAGAAAAACGAAGCCAACUCACUACGUGGUACAAAUUAAGUAGUCGCCGGAGAAGGGGGUCCUAAUAUAGAUGGUGACAUCACGGACGAUUUUUUUGAGGCUACAACUCUUGCUAGAACCCCAAGGAAAGACCUCCGUGUGUUAGCCACCGGUGAUCCUACCAAUGGGGAUCUGGUCACUCUUUGGCCAUGUGUCAUAGAUGGAGAGUCUCGACUCUAGAUAACAAAAGAAAGAAAAUUAGAACAUGCUGUGAACUUAAAGUAAGGUACAGAAGCAUAUUUGUGUUACGAAGUGAGGUUUAAUAUAGAAGCAGACCUGUAGCUCCUUGGAUAAAUUCAGAACGAGCAUGUUUCCUCUUCCCCUGCAACCCCUCCUUUUAGUUUUUCCUCUUCUUAUCUUGCUUCUUCCUCUUCUCUUCCCUUUUCUCUUCCCUCUUCUCUUCCAGCCUUUUCCUUUUCGCCUUCUGCCUUUGCUUUUUCUUCUGCCUCUCUGAUUUGUAAUGCAAACGUUGGGGGUCAAAAUAUAUAUCAAAAAAUACAGUUAAUGUCACAGGAAAACACAUGAGGGCUAGGGGCUUACUUCUGUUGCUCUUCAAUAGCAUUCCACACAUGUUGUUCCUGGUCCAUGGCUUCCCACUUUUCAGUUUGCUUGUCGAUUGUCAAUGCCACUUGGUCAUCACCCGUGGUCACUUUAAUAAAAUCUGCAUUGAAAUGUCAUAUUAGAUGUUUCAGCAGAACAUAAGUUCAGAUUUGGUUCAUCUAACAUUCGAGGCUGGAACAUAAUACAUAUUCACAACAUGCCUUUCACAACAGAGAUCAAACUAAUCAUAAGCCUGCACCAAUGCCGAUUGAUGUGCAGAUGCAGAGCCAGUGUCUUCUUCUAAUCGUGCGCUCGUCCCUACCUUCUAACCAGAUCAGCAUGUUCUUCAGUCUCCCCUUGCUACAAAUAACAUCGCAGCAGCCAGGCCCGAGGGAUCCGCCGCCGUGGCUGGCUAGGGUUCGUCGUGGAGGAGAGGGUGUCUAUUGGGGAGGGGAGGGGAAGGUGAGGUCUGUGCAUACCUGGGAGCAGAAGAGGAGGAGGCGGGGGAGCAGGUGUCGGGAUUGGGGAAGGAGCAGCCACACAAGGCUCGGCUUGCUCCAUGAUGACCCCCUUUGACGGCGGCGGAGGAGGGGGAGCCGAAGAUGGCAUCGACGGGAUGAGGGAGAGAGCAGAGGACGCAUUCCCGCAAGGCUCUGCUCGAUCCCCAGCGAUUUCCUUGGACGGCGGUGGCGGCGGCGCCAUGGAUCGGGAGCGGGAUGUCUCGGCGCGGUUCGGUGGAGAUGGGGCGAACUAGGGCAUGGUUGCGAAAAUUAUGGACUGCCGAUGGGCUUUUCUGUGCUAUCUAUUUAUCCCAGUUAAUUUUUGUGGGUGUCCACAAAAGCCAUUUAAGAAUUUUUUGGUGGAUGGCAUAUGUGGAACUAGUGGGUCCCAGCGCCAUUUACAUCCUAACUUGUAUCCCCAACACACCAAAUACAAUGAUAAUUUGUAUAGGUGCACUAGUUCGGCGAAGAGAUGGUGAUACAAGAGUUUUUCUGUAAUAGGAACAAUAAAAAAGAUCAAGGUAGCAAGUAACAAAAAUGAGCAUAAACGGUAUUGUAAUGCUUGAAAAUGAGGCAUAGGGUCCAUACUUUGCGAGUGCAAUCUCUCAAAAAAGCUAAUAUAAUUGGAUCACAUAACAAUCCCUUAACGUGCGAUAAAGAAUCACACCAAAGUUCCUAUCUAGCGAAGAACAUAAGAAGAAAUUGGUUGUAGGGUACGAAACCACCUCAAAGUUAUUCUUUCCGAUCAAUCUUUCCAAGAGUACGUACUAAGAUAACAAGUUAUCCUUUCCAAUCGAUCUAUCCAAGAGAUCGUACUAAAAUAACACCAUUGAUACAUAUGAAUCAACCCUAAUGUCACAUAGAUACUCCAAUGUCACCUCAGGUAUCUGUGGGUUAAUUAUACGACAUGCAUCAAACAAUUUCAGGUUCUUCAUAUUCAAUCCAACACAAAGAACUUUAAGGAGCACCCUAAAAUUUCUAUCGGAGAACAUAGUAUGAAAACACCCAUUAACCCCUAUGCAUAGAUUACCCCAUUGUCACCUCGGGAAUCCGCGAGUUGAGUGUCAAAACAUAUAUGAAGUGAAUCACUUGAAUACCCAAUGUCACUACGGGUAUCCGCAUGCAAGACAUACAUCAUAUGCUCUCAAACCUGAAUAUUCAAUCCAACAUAACGAGAUCUUAAAGUGAAAGCCUCAAUUCAUCACAACAAUAGCAUGGGACAAACACCAUAUCACUACAGGAAUCUGCUUCUUUGUCAUCCGCCAUAGCAGACGACAAAGGACCAUUCCACGGACAGCAAAGACCUUUGUCGUACGCUGGUUGACGACAAAAUUUUCGGCACUAAAACUCACGGUAAAGACUUGCUUGGCCGUUUGUCGGGAGGCAGCGGACCGCAAAGAUCUUUGUCAUCGGUGUAUCUAGACCAGGCAACGGACACACACACACACACACACACUCACGCACCCCCCCCCACCACACACACGCACGCGCACACACACACACACAUUCAUGAAAAGCACAAUUUUUAAUCACCUAUCUCUAGAGAAGAUCGAACACAGCGAUGAUGAGGUUGGUGUUGCUAGACACCUAAGGAUUAAAAGUGGACAACAUAGAUGACUUUACUUCAUUAAAUGGAUAGAUCUAGUUGGGGAGGUAGAUAGGUCAUUUUAUUAAAUGGGUAGAUCUAGCUAGUUGACGAAGAAAAUGACUCUAACAUGUGGAGGGAGGAGAGAAAAGCGAGAAAAAAAGACAAAUAAAUACAUUAAUUAUGGUGAUGAUGUAGGGGGGUAAUGGAGAGAGAAGAGAUGUAGGAGAAGGAAGGGAGAACAAAUGUAGCUAGUAGUAAUGGGGAAGAAGAAAGUGAGGAAGAGAGGAUGGAGGAGGGAGGGGAUAGAAAAGGUGGCUAUUGCGCUUUAGCAGCAGCGAGUGUCAAGAACAUGCACUACUGCUAUCCACUUACUAGUAGCAUGUGUCAGGAAGGAGCUCUGCUACUAUAGGUGGGCUGGCGGGUACGAUGGGGACCACUUUAGCAGUAGUGCGUGGCUAGUUUUGGCGCUACGCACUAUCAGUAGUGCGUGUCCAGAAGACGCCAUGCUAGGCUGCUGCUGCUACAAGUAGUCUGGUGGGUUCGGUGGAGACCACUUUAGCAAUAGCGCAUGGCUAGUUUCGGAGCUACUGCUAAGGCAUUAUCAGUAGCGCGUGUCCAGAAGACGCCCUGCUACUACAAGUAGUCUGGUGGGUUCGGUGGAGACCACGGUAGUAGCGGCGCGUAUUGUUGGGCCACGCUACUGCUAAUGAUAUAGCAACAACGCGCGUUUUCCGCCCUCGCUACUGUAACUUAGCAGUAGUGCGGUCCUGUUAGCCACGCUACUCAUAAGCUUGAACCUAUAAUGUUUUUUCUAGUAGCAAGGGUUCGAAUCCUGGUGCUUGCAUUACUCCUGAAUUUAUUUCAGGAUUCCUGAUGAUACGCUUUGAGUGGGAGAAGAUGUUCCCACCAAUGACGAGGCGCCUAUGUUAACUUCGUAAAUUUCAAGAUGAUAUGCCAGCUCAACCUCUCGGCGGUGCUCAUAAAGGUAGAGUGUGUGUGUUCAUAGGGGAUGAGUGUAUGCGCGUGUAUAUGAAAGUUUGUGUGUGUACUAUGUUUGAAAAAAAUCAUUCUGGUUAAGCCAGCUUUAUUAAUUACUCUUACGUUUCAUAAUAUAAGAUUGUUUUUAACAUUAUAAUUGCAUUAGAGAUGUUUUUAUAUUAUGGGACGGAGGGGUAUGUCUUUCCAACGCAUGUGGUAUGUAUAUAUCGCUUGCUUUAACUAGUAACACUUUUGCAUGCCCUGACCUUUUUAUUAAUUUAUGAGAGAAUUGAGCACGUGGUUGCUGCGAGGUGAGAGAUGAUGAUGUGAUUCCUUGCUUGCUUACUGCACCUAGUGAGGGGAGAGAGAAGUAGAUGCCAAGUGACGGUACAUGAUUGUGGCAUAGACGAUAUGCUAUUCGAUUCGACUACUGGUGGUACACAUACAACAAACAGCAUAUUCUGAUUACAAACCCUCCGAUUCGAUUUGGUAAGGAAUGUGCUAGGUAGCUAAGCAUCUCUUGUAUUUUCCUGCGGAAACGAUAUAUAAUAGAGGACAAGAGAAAAAGAAAGGCAGAGGAUAAUUACCAUUACCUCCACUAGCUAGCUACAUUCCUUCCUAGGUUGGUUGAUUCAGGUUCAGAUAGCCUAAAAACCUGUUGAAUUUCCAACAACAGAUAAUGUCGCCAGGUCAACAACAAUAUAUCUAUACAGAAAAGCCACUAGCGCUAGCUAGUUUUCUUUCAGAUGUGCAUGUUUAGCAGGGCAAGCAAGGCACUUAAAGACCCGGCCCGGUUACUUGGACUGAACUUACUGAAGCUGUCGGUGGCGUUGCGUAGAUACGUUCCUAACUUGUUCCACCGAGAGAUGAAGAAAGGGGAUGUGUGGAUAUUCUGACGGCAUAUCAUCGUCGUGACUCGAUCGUCGCCAGCUAGCUGCCUAAUUAGUUUGCUUGGCCGUAACAGCAAGAUGACGCUGCGAUUCCAGCCUCCAUCAAACGCGCCAUGACUGCCCAACUGACCACUUAUAUGUAUGCAUAAGUACUACGCCGUACCCGUAGCAGCAGCAAGCUAAUCACCGCGUGUUAAUUACUGAAUGAACUAUUAUUGCGCUGUUCACCGCUACCCCUCCGCCCCGUCCCAUAAUAUAAAAACGUUUUUGAUAUAAUAUAAAAUUGUACUAAUCUUAAAACACUUAUUUUGGGACGAAGGGAGUAUGUACGAAUCUCAUCAAUUUAAUUUGUGUAUGCUUGACGGCUACCGGUCGGAUUGAGUGUCGCCAAAGUAUCAUGAGGAAGUGUUUGUGUGCAGACAGCAUACUACAUGGUCGAUGACGAUAGACCGCAUUAUUUUGCACGGAGCACUGUUGCUCAAAGAGAGGUCUCUAGCAGCUCAUGUUUUUCCACUCUCAGUGACAUGUCGAUGAAACGCACUGAAAUUCACUAAUUUCACUAAAUGCGGAAGUUUUUAUUUUUCCGGUCAAAAUAUUUCAGCAGUUUCAGCAGCACACAACAUCUUCAAUUCGGUUUCUUUUACAUCUUUUGGUUGAAUCCAGGCCAAAUGAAUGUCUAGGUCCUUUGGCCGAACCGAGAUCGCCCAAUGUUAUUGGUAAUCCCGCAAAAGAAAAAGAUGCAAGUUAAAUCUAUUUAACAGGACAACCCAUCGGUAGCAUGUACGAAAUAUUUUAUUUUGUUUUCACUAAGAAGGGCUUAGAAUUAAUUACAAGGGUCAAACCAAAAGCUCCUAAGUUUCGGCACAAUCGAGCUCACAUGCUUCGCCGCAGCGACAACCCACAAGGCAGCCUCAUAUUAGAGCAUCUACAACCGGACUAGCCAAAUCUGAUCCUUCUUAAAGCAUCUACAACCCGACUAGCCAAAUCCGAUCCGUCUUAGAGCAUCUACAACAGGACUAGCCAAAUUUGAUCCUUCUUAGAUCAUCUACAACCGGACUAGCCAAAUCUGAUCCGUCUUAGAGCAUCUACAACCGGACUAGCCAAAUUCGAUCCUUCUUAGAGCAUCUACAACCCGACUAGCCAAAUCCGACCCCUCAAACGUCCGAGAACGCGCACGACCGUGUCGGCAGACACUGACCGGUCACGCUUAAAAUAAUGCAUUUUAUAGCCGGACACCUUAAAUUAGAAAUCUCAAAUCCAUAUUAUUACAUGCAACAUAAACCUAAUACAAGCAGAGCUUGUCCAGUUCCGCCAUGCCCAUGUCAUACGGCUGGCUGUGCCCAUGUCAUAUCGGUGCCCCUCGUAAUAUCGGUCCAAUGAUCCCAGGGGAGGGUCUUGUGCCCAUGUCAUACGGCUCGCUGUGCCCCUCUUAAAACACAAUCGAGCAGUAUGAGAAAUCAUAUGUAUGCAAACUCUCAUCAUUGACUAAUCACAGAAGGGUAGCCCCCGGUACAUGACAAUGCCCGUGGAAGGGUAGCCCCCGACGCCCUCCACGAUGGUUCAUCGACACCCAAAGACGUCAUCGUAUCGGUGUCGACCGGGCCGACAGGGGUUUUCCCCGAUCCCAACCUGCACCUCGGACGCUCCGGAACCUGCCAUCAAACCGACCUUCACCCUGCACCAACACGGUCUUGAAGCCCCCGCACCAUCUCACCACGACAUCGUAAGGAGAGACCUGCACAGCGACGAAAAGAAGUCGGGACAAGGAGCAGCAACACCGUCCGCAUGUCGGAGGGCUCAACCUCCACCGUCAACGAUGGUAAAUGACCGAACGCAAUAGCCGGAGUAUACCAGGCCCUUGGGCCCACAGGCUCGGCCGGGACCCCCGCCCGUAAAGCUCCCGCCAUCGCGCUGCAACAGACACGUCGUCGACGACGCUGCCCCACGUCCAUGCUGCUCAUCCUCACCACCAUGUAGAACCACGCCGGGUUCCGGCCUGCUAGGACCUAGGUGGGACCCGUAGGGCCCAGAACUGGGCCGGGACGCGCCGCCGGCCAUCUAGCACCACCACGCCGCCCUAUCGCCAAGAACCAGCAGCGCCACCUCACCCGUCGCCCGGCCACACGGGUCGCCAAACCGCAGCCAGGCCGAGCUGCGGUCGCCGCUGCCCCUGCCCCGGGAAGGGGAACGCUCGCGCAGGAAAGGAGAACCCGCCACCGCGGACACCACCCGAGCCAGGGCCGGGGGCGCAGCCGACGACGACGGUGGGGGAGGAGGCAGGAGGGGGCGAUNAUAUAUAUAUCACGAGGAGCGCGUGUCAAUGUGUCAUCAAAGCAUAGAUGCUGCCUGCUUGCCUGCACCGACUCACUAUACUAGAAUAGUGUGUUACUAUUAAUAUAAAACCGUGCUUAAAGUGCUCGAUCGGAUUAAAGAGAUAGAUGUCCAUCUGAUCUGUAACUAACAAAGAGUCCGAAACUUUUUUGCUUUGGAAGCGGCAGGUCACCGUCAGUCCUUGUACAUCAAUCAAUAGUUUAGGAAUCAGUUUAAUCAUUCAUAAAAAUUGAUCAUGCAGUACUACUACUAGUGCUACGUAUUGAUGAGCUGGAGAUGGUCCAUAUUUUUGCUGGAUCUCCCGGCAGCUCGUCUCUUUUGUCCACACUCCCUGACACGACUCUCUUAACUCUUAACUGAGACAGCUAGCAUGUAGGAGAUGGAAAAAAAUAUAACAAGAAAUGGGAAGCAACGUGUGUCCUAGUCUGCAAUUAGUUUACUACUCCGUCAGUGGAAGGAUUCAAACGAUUGACUAAUAAGGGUGUGGCACAUGACUAACUGACGGUGCUUGAACAGGUCGCCGUAAGUAUAUAUUAAUACCCUCCUCCGCAAGGAAUUACGAUUUUUGCUGGUAAUUAAGAGUGAACUUAAGACAGUCGUUUGUUCUACGGUAAUUCAAUUGGUAUGGAGGCGUGCACAUCCAUCCUUGGUUGUCUUGAUCAUAAUGAAAGGGAUAACUAAACGUGCACCCAUGAUCCAUGCAUGGUAUGUAUUAAACUUUUUCCCCUGGGCAUCCUUUUUAGAAAAGAAGGAUGACCCCCGACCUAUGCAUCUGGAAGAUGCAUGCAGCCAUAUUAUUUAUUAUUUUCGAGGAUCUUACAAAGCAGUACAACAAUAUGCAUGAAUCUGUCAUCUUGGCAACAUCUGCCGCUACUCCUAUCCAUAUGAUGAAGAGGUGCAAACUGAACCAAGCAACGGACGGAGAUCCAUGCUACGAUAGAGCCGCACCACCGCCGUCGCCCACCACCCACAAGCGCCACCUAGCCCCAAGGUUCCCAAAGUGGCGCCUUCAAGAAGGGAACGACGCCGUGAGCGCCGCCGCCGCCCAACAAAGUUAAGGCUUUCGCCCGAAAGACCUAGGGAAAAGGGAAGUGAGGGGAUCAGUCCAUACCGACGCCUCCAAGGAGGGGAACGACGCCCUCAGGCGUCGCCGUCGACGCGGCCAUGGCCGACCAGGGAUUUCGGCCGAACUAGAUCCCCGCCACCAGCAGCGCCUCCUGUACAAAACCGGCAACCCAAGAAAGUACGGCCUGAUCAGGCUGGCCCGCAUACCGAAUAGGGGAGGCGUUAGAUCGCGCGCACCGGCCACCGCAAAAGCCGUCACCAGACACCAACGACCACCGGAUCCCGCCGCCCGCACGACCGAAACGUCAGAUCCACCGCCCACACGGCUGCUAGCCUGCCGUGCCUCGUCAAUGAAGCCAUCGUUCCAGAUCCGGGGCUCCCACGCAGAGGCAGGGCAGCCUAGGCCCCGCCGCCACCAUCCUUGGCGCCCCGGGCUUGCCCGGUGGCUGCCUCAGGCGGCGGCGAGGAAGGGAGGGGGAGGGGGAGGCGGCUAGGGUUGGGAGGGAAGGAGGGAGACGUGUGUGUCAAGGGAGGGGGCUUCCUGGGCAUCUAUUGAUCAAUCGUAAUCAAAUGAAACUAUAUACUAUGACACUUGUUAAACGGUAGGCAAGCGACGGUAGAGCAGAUUCAGAUUGAGUGAAGGGUGGAUCCAUCCUUGUUACAUGUGGCAGGCGCGCGGGCAAAGUUACGAGUGUGGUAGAGCAGAUUCAUGAGUUAAUUGAUUUGCCUCCAAGUGGAACCGUUAGACACACACAACACAAGAUAGACUAGAGAUGGUUGAGUUGCAACUUGGAGGCAGGCUGCACCCUGGGGAGGGACCGAGGGAGGAGAGAUCUACUGGCGAAUAGUUCUAAUAAUGUGUGGCAUAUACGGAGGGAUAUAUCGUCUGAUUCGUUAGGUACGACUGCAUAUUUGUUUAUCAUCUAGGUGUGGAUGCUAAGCUAAGCUAAGCAUCGGUUCUACUCCAUUCUGUAAGGAAGGAACGGACCAACUCCAAUUGACAGGGAAAAGAAAGAAAGACGGAUGCCAGCGGUUAGAAUAAUAAUGGGGCUGGAGCGCGUCGGUGUGGGUGUCGGUGUCGGUGUCGGUGUCGUCGGUGCAGUGCAAGUGCAAGUGCAAGUGCGAUUGGCUGGUGUCGGUGGCUGGCUCCAAGGUACACAGAGUUUCAGACACAAGCGAAGCGAGGAUGGAUAUUCUGACGGACGGGAUAUCCCAAUCAUCACCAUCAUCCUCACCGUCGUCCGAGUGUAGUACAACCAGCUUACACAAGCUUCUCAAGUUGGUCUCUACUUAACACGGAGACGGCUACUACAAAAGAUUAGUAAGCUAUAUAUGCGUCCGGGCAGCAGCACCGUCAUCGUUUGUGAUUUAAUUACUGUACAAGAGCAUCUACAACCGAACCUCUCAUAUUCGUCUUAACUAUUCGGACCUCUCAUAUUUGUCUUAGCUAUUCGGACAGACCGCUCAAUCACUCAUCGUUCACAGAAACUUGAUCCAGCCAAAUGCCUUAAACGGACCUUAAACAUUUGGGCUGAACGGCACCCAUUAUAUUCAGUCCAAAUAUGAAACGAAUAUGGGGGGUCUGAGAAUGUUGGCCUGACGAUGGGCCCCAUGCAAACUCAUCCGAAAAUCCGACGGUCUAGCACACGCAUCGACUGCCACCACAGUGUAAACGCCGUGUGGCGUCGCUCCGGCUCAUCACCUGAUGGGGUCACCUACUAAUGAUAGGGCCAUGGAUCGGCCAUCCAAGGCCCAUGUAGGGCACCACACUGUCAUUAAAGUCUCAAGGCUGCAGUUGCAUUCUGAUGCAUACUUGACGUUCACUCGGAUCUAUCAAAUCACUUAGGCGUCCCUUUGCCAAUCGGCCAAGCUUCGUCGCUUAAACAGAGGAACGCAUGGGCGGCGUGGGAGCUGCAACAUCCGAAAGACUUAACACCAUACAUGAAGUGUAAUCAUGGGUAAUGUUGCAUGUAAGUGUUGUAGUUAGGGUUGUGGUUUCUAAUAACACCCGUAGUUACUCUUAUUUUAAUGUCCUUGAAACGGCUCAUUAAUGGGGUGUGGCUCACUCUAUAUAAGCCAUCCCCGAGCUCUAUGACAGUAAUCAUACACCCCCAGAGAGACACAAGCCUCGGGGCACGAGACUACCUCGUCAAGAGGGGGCCCAACUCGCUAAAUCCGAGUGAUACGCGAGCGUCGUAGCUAGGCUUCACCCUUCGUUCGUACCCAUAGUAGUAGCUAGACUUCGCCCCUCGUUCGUACCCAUAGCACUCAAUGUCAUGUUGCCUCCACACCGCCCGAGACCAAAUUCAGCUAUUUAAGCCAACCGGUGUCCCCUAGCCCUAACACAUCCACCUCCUUCACUAGUGGAAAACGGGCCUUUGGCCGGGAUCAUUUAGUCCCGUCCUGCCUCUGGGCCGGGACUAAAGGCCCGGCCACGUCGCCCCAAUUCUCAAUGCCUCCCUCGAGGCUUUAGUCCCGGCCCGUAAGGAGCCUUUAGUCCCGGUUCGUGUCCCAAACCAGGACUAAAGGGCUACGCGGCGGGCAGUGAUGGUGGCAACCGUUCGUAUCCCCCUUUAGUCCCGGUUGGUGGUUCAACCCGGGACUAAAGCAAGAAAAAAUCAGACGUUCCUCAGCUUGGACAACAGGCCAAACAGUCGAUCCCACCCCUCAAGGUGUUAACCGAGAAUGUUCCCCCUCCGGUGCAGGGGCCAGCUUUUGAAAGAGCAAAGGAGUUGGCGGUUGAAUGUGGUAUCUUGGUUGAAGAUUUGCUGGCUUCCCAAGACGACAUGAUACCCAAGGCUGUGGUAGCCCCUAAGCCACAGUUUGUCAUGGGAGAGCCUUUGGUCAGCAAAGAUGAUCUCCCAACAAAUAUGCGUUACUUGCAUAAAUGGUACUUAAGUGAAUCAAAGAAUGGGAGAACGAUGAUCGUGCUGAGUGUCCCACGGGAGUACUACGGCCGCUCCGAAGAAAUCCAUAUCGACUUUGAUGAGCUCUUCCAGAUGUACAAUGGCGACGCCCUCGACAAAUCGCUUAUGAGUUGCUAUUGUCUGUAAGUUUUUCAACUCGUUGUCUACAUAUAACUUGUUUAGUUAUUUCAAUUCAUUGUCUAUAUAUAACUUGUACUCUAUUAUGCAAAAUGAAGAUUCUGAAUUGUAAAAGUAAGAGCAUCCUAAAUAUUGGGUUUAUUGACCCAGAUAAAAUACAUAUAGCGACGCUAACUGACAAACCCAAGGAGACGGAGGAAAACCUUCUAAGGUUUCUAAUAGAUCAAAAUUUAUGUGACCACAUACUGUUUCCAUACAACUUCAGGUGAGGGUCUUUACUCUGUUGUGUCCAUUCACUUAUAUGUGCAGCUUCCAUUGGAUUCUGUUGGACAUUCAAAUUGAUAAGGGAAGAGUUGAUGCCUUCGACCCAUUAUCGAGACCCUUGGAACAGUUCCAAAGCCUGCAGGACAUGCUCCAAGGGUAAUUUUAAUCAUUCUUGCGCUCCAUCAGUCUCUUUCGAUGAUUUUCUGAUAUAUCAAUUAAUGAAAAACUUAGCAAAUCAUUAUCCUUGUCGGGCAGGGUUUGGAAUCGGUUCAAGUGCGUGACUCCCAGUAACUUUCCUGAGAAGCUGACCUUUAGAGCGGUUCAGGUAAGUAGUAGUAUGAUAUACUUCUAUUAAUUUUCAAUACAUUUAUGAUGCUAGAUUAUUAUUUUGAUUAUAUAUAUUCUAUUCUCGUAAAGUGCGACCAGCAGCCACGGGGAACGCAUCUAUGCGGAUACUAUGUUUGCGAGACCAUUCGCACGUUUACCUCUGAGUUCAAGGAUCACAGAUUCGACGUAAGCAAUGAACAUUCACACCUCUAUUUUUACCUGUCAUUCUUUGUUAUCAUGAUUGAUAUUCAUAUUCAUCUCCUCUUCUUAUAUAGCACACGGCCAUGAGGACGAAGGUCCUACCAGAGCAACGCGCGAUUGUUGUUGCAGAGGAGCUUGCGGGAUUUCUGAGGACGGAAGUUAUAGAGCUCAAAGGACAAUUUUAAGCUAAGGGCCAUUACUGAUGUUCGUCCAUGUAAUCGAAUAGACGGGCUCUAGUCCCGAUAAUUCAGAUCUCCGUAUAAUUGUAUAUAUAUGCUCGCUUGUAAGAUAANUAUUAAAAUUAUAUGAAAACUAAUUUCCGAACACCAAACGAGGCAUCACGUUAAUCUCCCGAACACCUAAACCCUAAAACCCUAAAACCCAAAAAUAAUUUUAUUAAAAAAAAAACCCAAAAACCAGCAAAAUCUGAAAAUCUUUAGUCCCGGUCCGUGUAACGAACCGGGACUAAAGGGCCUGCCCCUGGGGCGCUACGAGGCGCCCACGUGGAGCAUCUUUAGUCCCGGCUUGUAAGAGGGCCGGGACGAAAGGUUAGGCCUUUAGUCCCGGCUUGUAAGAGGGCCGGGACAAAAGGUUAGGCCUUUAGUCCCGCCCCUUUAGUCCCAGUUGGUGAACCGGGACUAAAGCCCCUUACGGGCCGGGGCUAAAGGCCCCGUCCCCACUAGUGCUUCCUCUCUCCGCCGCCACUCGAACCCGCCCGCCUUCUCUCUCCCACUCCCCAACGCUCUCCGGCGUCGAUAUGGUCUGCCGUAGGAUGACCACACCUUAGCUAAGAUAUAACCCUACUCCCUUUCAUCAUUACCUGGUAUGACACAUCAGCAAAAUGUCUAUGAACCGGCGCUAAGAAACUUUCAUUGGCACAUGCCUAAGCCCAAGGCUAGUUGUAAUGGAAGUAUUAUUAAUGGUAUCAUGCAUGUCAACUAGGUUUAUUUGAUGACGUGGCACACCAUUAAAUGAGGAAAGAGAGAUGUGGUAUUAUGUUAUGAUAUCGUAUCAUAUUAAAUGUUGCACUGCUUUGUAUCAUUCAUGACAAUUAAUAAAACAAUAUAGUAGAUACUUCCUCCGUUUCAGUUUACAAGGCCUGCACGUGUAUCUAGGUCGUCAAUUUGACCAACUUAAUAAGAGACAUAUAUUAUAAAAAAUAUAUCAUUAGAAACUUUAGAUGUUCUAUUUUUUAAUGAUAUAAUUUUUAUGUUAAACAAUAUAUUUUAUAUAAGUCAAAUUGACGACCUAGAUACACGUGCACGUCUUAUAAACUGUGAUGGAGGAAGUAUUAACUUAUGAUAUUAUUACAUUAUAAAAAUAAUAUUAUACACUAGUAUCAUAUGGAUGAUAUGGUACUCUUCAUUACAGACAGCCUAAUGCUAGUGUAAACACUGGAAUUUUGCUGUUAAAACAUUGUAUUUUAAUGGACUGGCUCUUUCUUUUCAGGAAGGUUUAACAACGUUUGGCCUUGACGUUCGAUUUUCCUGCCUCCACCACUGGCGCUGCCGAGUAAUGCUACACCAACAAAGGCUUACGUAUAGAUUUAACGUACAAACUGAUGUGUAAGAUUGUGAUUGGUAAUUGAGGGAUGAGGGCCCCACCCCCACUGAAAAUCAGGGGGGGAGAGAAGAGUUAGCUUGAAAGGUUAAGUAAACCUUUGUAAGUUUUUGUAUGUCUAGCAUUAUAGGGCGCUGCCCAUGCGUGACGAAUUUUACCUUGAUUUUUUUUACAAGUGAGGUAGUAUAAUAAAAUUACAAGACAGAGAAAGACCGACGGUAUACGCUGCUAGCUGUGUGGUAAAACUCGUAGAAAAGCGCGUCCGUGGUGGUUCGCAUGUAUGCCAUACAUGGCGUGUGAACCUUUUUUGGGUUCAUUGGCGUUCGCUGGAUCACGCGUUUUCUCAACAUAUAAGUUUGAUUCAUGAUUCAAUCAAAUUAAUGUAUAUUCAAUCACACGGACCGUGCUUACAGUACAAGUGCAACACAAGGGAACGGAAAGGCCACCGAUCGACAAGGCAGACGCAGGCGAGUGGAAAAAUUCAGGCAUUCGGUGAUGGGCAACUCUCAGUGUUGAACGGCGUGAAAUACACACGUACACAACCGCACCAACCAACUGUACAUACAUACAUACAUACUUCCUUCGUUUGUACAUAUAAAUUUUCUAAGAGAUUUCACUAGAUAACUGCAUACAAAACAAAAUAGAUGAAUACACACUUUAAAAUAUGUCUAUAUGCAUUCGUAUAUAGUCCUUUAGUGGAACCUUCAGAAAAACUAAUAUUUAAAAACUGAGGGAGUAUAAUUUUCACAUGGUAUAAUAUGUGUCUUAUUCAUAUUAUUAUAAAAAAUUAAAAUACAAAUCAUGUAAGAAACGACAUGACAAAAAACUAAAAAGGUAGCAGAACAUCUCUGAACGUAAAAACUUUGAACCAAGAACCAAGCAUAUGUUUCAUCUUUCAGAUGUUAUCGAUGCACAACCCAAUCUGCAUCCGCUCCUGGGUUACCUCCCAAACUCCGCGUCGACGCUGAAGCAAACGCCAUGGCAACAGCCAAGCCCGAGAACAUGGGUCUACCACGAGGAUGCCGUCAUGGCCACGCCAUCCUUGCUUCACUAGACUGAUUUUUAAAUUCAUCCCCAAUCAUAGGACCGAUGACCUCGUCAAAGAAGGUUUUGAAGAAUAUUUAUCCAAGCCGUUUUUGUCGCCACCGAAACAAAGACCGUCUUCAUCGUUGCCGAAACAAAGACGAUGAACAACUUAAAAAAAAUCUAGACUGCAAAGACUAAAAACGAUGGACAAAUGUGUAUCCGGUGACAACGGGCGCUCGAAGAUUGUCUCUCUCUGGCAGCGGCUAGGGUUGCAGCCCCGGGAGGAAAACCGGCUGCGUGCUCAUUAUCUAUACAUGCAUACAUACAUACUCCCUUCAUUUCAUAUUAUAAGUCUUUUUAGAGAUUUCACUAAAAGACUACAUACGGAUGUAUAUAGACAUACUUUGGAAUGUAGAUUCACUCAUUUUGCUCCGUAUGUAGUCACCUAGUGAAAUCGUUUAAAAGACUUAUAUUUAGGAACGGAGGAAGUACAUACGGUAAAAAAAAAAGUGAGCACUGUACCCAAACCGAGCCCACAUGCACACAAAGUCACUUCUCAAGUUCGGAUCGAGUCUCCUACGUAGUUUCCAAAAAAAAAAAAAAAAAAAACUGUGCUAGCAUGUCUUGGCGUUGACGUGGCCUCUUGAUCCCACGUGGAGGCGCGUGAUUCAUAGUCAGACAGAUUUUGAUUGACGCCGGCCACGCCCGGCAAAGGCCAGGUCAGCGACACCCAUCUCAUCUUCUUCCUCCUCCUCCUCUGCCCUGCACCGGCGGCCGAUGCUAUUGCUAUAAGAAGGGGGGCAGGGCAGACUCUCCUCUCAUCACCACACAACACCACAGCAGAGCAGAGCAGAGCACCCUCCCUCACCUCCUUGAGCUUGAGGUGCGUUUGCUUAGUUGCGUUGCGUUGCGUUCGUCUCCCUCCUCUUCCCCCCCUGAUCCUCUGCUUCGGCCAGAUCUCCUCCAGAUUGAUUGCCAGGCCUCGACUGACAUUUCCAUUUUCGCAGAUCAGAUCAGAUCAGAUCAGAUCGGGUGCUAGGCUCGCUUUGCUUCGCUGCAAGAUCCAAUCCAUCCAUGGCUCCCUCACAGGAGGUCGUCGCCGCCGCCGCCGCCAAGGAGCCAUCCACCAACGGCAACGGCAACGGGACAACGGCGGCCCCGAAGACCACCAGCAAGGCCCCGGCGCUGAACGAGCGGAUCCUGUCGUCGAUCUCUCGCCGGUCGGUGGCCGCCCACCCGUGGCACGACCUUGAGAUCGGCCCCGAGGCGCCGACCAUCUUCAACUGCGUGAUCGAGAUCCCCAAGGGGAGCAAGGUCAAGUACGAGCUGGACAAGAAGACUGGGCUCAUCAAGGUGGACCGUGUGCUCUACUCCUCCGUCGUCUACCCGCACAACUACGGCUUCAUCCCGCGCACCCUCUGCGACGACUCCGACCCCAUCGACGUCCUCGUCAUCAUGCAGGAGCCCG
RNAcentral lists this long non-coding RNA (75009 nucleotides) under Hordeum vulgare. RNAcentral's name for it is "long non-coding RNA (HVUL_LNC008414)". Lineage: Eukaryota; Viridiplantae; Streptophyta; Magnoliopsida; Poales; Poaceae. The record is from RNAcentral.